UUGGAACCACCUUAUAAUGUUCUUUUACGUGUUUUCUUUUAGAUCGCACAACACUAGUUUUUCCUUGUUGUCCAACAACAAAUGUUCAUUAUUCAGAGUGUGUAACAAGUAACACUUGAAUUCUUCAUUCAAGUUAUUCCUACGACUGUUAUAUGGGGAAGCCAUCUUACUCCAAGAUGUGUCAACACCAUACUCUUUCAUAACCCACAUCUUACUUGGAUCUUCAAAACCCUGUACGCAAAGGCAUCCUCCUACAACCCUCAACUUAACAUAUACUUCUUCUUCUUCUCUCGGAAUUGCUAGCUCCCGAAACUGCUCCUUUUCAAAAUCAAAAGCCAUGAUUGUAUCAAAGUCAUGAAUUGGAUCAUAAGCUACCCAAUGGAGUGCCCCAUGUAAAACAGUUGCACAUAUGUACGCAACCCUGGUGUGAUGUUUUUUCCUGAAUUCUUUUCCAUUUAUUGGAUUUCAGCGAGAAAACAUCCACCACGGUCUCAGUGUUAGGAUCGAGCAUAGAAACAACAAAUAUCUUGUAGUCAUCGGCAAAGGAGUCAUACCCAAAUCCAUGGCAACCAAGAAAAUCCAGAACGUUAGGAUUUGGUGGUAAUUGAUUGCAUUGUCUGGUAGAUGGGUUCCAUAAGACAAUCUUAUUCGCCAAAUCAGCUAUACACAAUAACCCAUCACAGGAAUCCAGAAGAACGACUUCGUAUUUACAUUUUCCAAUAUCAAAUAAAUAAUUAAAAGCCAAUGACCCACCGUCAUCAUCGCUAAAUGCUUCACAGUACUCUUUGGUAGAGGCUCGAACUACCAUGAUUGUUGCCACGUUCGCUAUAGUCCAAGAUGCAAAACCGAGUUCUAGCUUGGGUUUGUGGUAGUCGGAGGUGACUUCUAACGAAAUGGGGAUGGGAAAUUAAUGCGCGCCAAGCUUUGCAAACGCACCUGAAACGGAUCAGAGACUUGACUGGUGAUCUCAAGAGUAUGUUCUCCAUGAUGUGAAGAGGUAACUCCGCCAUUGUUGUCUUCUUUGAUCUUCCUAAACCUACAAUCACCCUUUUCCCUUUUUAGUCCAAAAAUAUAUUCUUUUCUAAAGAUUAGAAAUCCACCUAAAGAAGAAAGAAAAAAAUUACUUUCCUCCAAAUAUUAUAACUAAUAUAAUUUCAAUUUUGAAAAUACUUCCACAAAUUAUUUUUGCUAAAAAAUAGCUAAAUAUCUCUCUUUUAUUAACACAUCAUGGUCAAAUUAAUCCUCUAAUGCCACGUGAUUUUACAUGAACAAAUUUAAGUUAAAUAUGGUGAUAACUAAUUAUCAUAUUCGUGGACUUCGAAGAUGUCAAAAUUGUAUUAUUUUUUAUUUUUUAUUUUUUAUAAUUAAUAAAUAAAAUAUUUAGUCUAGAAAUAAUUACUAUUUUAUAUUAAGCAAAUAAUGAUUAAAAAUUAUUUCUCUUAAUUUUAUUUUUUUUUCUUGAAGAUUAAUUUAUAUCAAUUGAUUGUAAAAUAUAAUAUAAUUUUCUGUAUUUUUUUUAUUCUUUUUACUAAAAAAUGGUUUUCAAAAUAUGAUUCGAAGGGUUAAAUUUUAAAAUAAAAUAACUCUUUUUUAAUUUGAAAUUAAUUCAAAAUUAAAAUUAAAUAUUAUUCAUUUUUAAAAAAGAAUAUAAUUUUAUUUUUUAAAAAAAAUAAAUUAAAUUAAAAUACAAAAUGUUUUAAUUUUUUUUUUCAAAAUUUUAAACAUUUUAUCUACCAUAUUAACUACAAUAUAAUUUAAUUUAGGAAAAAUGAAUAUGGUCACCAAUAAAAAAAAUUAAAAUUUAUUUAUAAGAGAAAAAUACAAGUCUUAAACCCUAAAUUACACCAUUUAAUGUCUUAUUAAUCAAAAUUUGGUCAAUACUUCGACUACUUAUCUUUUUCUUGGAAUUAAAUUCCAUUCAUCAAACAAAAUGUCUUUUUUAAAAAUUAAAAAAUUAUAACUUGCUUGGGUUAUGAUAUUUUAAUUAAAUAACUAUAAUUUAUCAAAAUAAAAAUGAAAAAUAUUUUCAUAGUAUAAAAAUAAUCAUAAAGUUAACCUAUUAUUGUUUAUUUUAAAUUAUUAUUCAUAAAUGAUUUUAUUUUUUGAAACAUUAUAAUCUUUCAUCACCUACAUCUCAAUUGGAUAUUUUUUAGCUCACCGGGGUUUAGAAUUCCUUUCUAUGUUCAAUCCUUUCUUCAAAUAAAAAUUUAUUUACAUUCUAUCUUUUCCUGGUAUUUUCCCCUAAAAUUAUAGCUCGAUCAUGUUUUCUAAAAUUUAUUUUUAAAAAUUAUUUUUUAUUUUUUAACUUAAAAACAAUUUUUUUUAAAAAAAAAAACAUUGUUAAACAAGCUCAUGUUUUCUUUUUAUUUUUAAAAAUGGGUGAAAAUAACUUCUACUUAUUCUCUAAAUAUUGUUUUCUAUUUCACUUUAUUUUUAAAAAAUUGUUUUCACAUAACCAAUUGUCAAACAAUGUUAAAAAUUUGAAAACAAUUUUCUAUUUUUAAAAAUAGAAAACUAUGUUUAAAUCCAAUGGUCAAACAUUGUUAAAAAUUUAAAAACAAUUUUCUAUUUUUAAAAAUAGAAAACUAUGUUUAAAUCACAUUGUCAAAUAGGCUCUAUGUUUUUUAUUUUGUUUUUUUUUUUUUUUUAAGUUAAGAAUAAGAUUUUUUUUAAAAAGAAAAGAAAAGAAAAUGUGUGAUUAGUUUGUCCAAAAUAUUGUAAAUUGUAACUUGAAAAAUACUUCUCUCUACACAUUGUUACAAAGGGGAGGUGACAACAUGAUAAUUUUAGACUUCUGUUUUAAAGAGAGAGAGUAACAAAAAUUACUAUUUAGAUUUUAUAUUUUAAAACUAUAUAUAUAUAUAUAUAUAUAUAUAUAUAUAUAUAUAUAUAUAUUUUAAAAAACAGAUACAAAUAUUUUUAAAAUUUAAUAAUUUUUUCCAUAGUAAAAGAAGUAGAAAUUUAUUAUUUUUUUCAUUUUAUUUUCUAUCCUCAUCAUUAUCUACCAUCUUUUCAAUUUGAAAAAAAUAAUUAAUUCUUUUUUUUUUUUUUUAAAAGAGGGUAAUAUUAGCAUCACUCUUCUUUAACUUUUUAAGGUAGGUAUACAAAGGAUAUUCUUUUCUCUAGCAAAGAUACUAGAAUCCUCAAAAAAUUUUACAUUCAUUAUUCAAAACUUGAUAUGGUUACAAACAACUUGUUGACGGAACCAAGCAUAGAAGCCUUGUAAACAGAGGGUGCUAGCAUUUUCAAAGCCCCAACACAAGUUAAUUUCAUGGAAGUGAAACGUAUUCUUUUCUAUUUAAAGGCCAUAAUUGGUUACGGAAUAAGAUUGGUACAUAUCUUAAAGUAAUCUCCAAUUGGGAAAAAUAUUUUAUCUUACUAGGAGAAGUUCUACAAGUUAUUGCGUUUUUUCUCGAAUUCACUUAGGUUAUAUUUAGUUCCCAAAAAAAUUAAGGAAAUAAAAAAAUAUUAAAUGAAAUAAUUCUCUCAUGCUUGGUUGGCUUAUGAAAAAUAUCAAAGAAAAUCAAAUAAUUUUAUCAUAUUUUGUUAUCUUAUGAAAAAUAUCAAAUAAAAUCAAAUAUAAUUUAAACUAGUUAGAAAUUUACGUAUUUUAAAAGUAUUUAAUCUUUAUAUCAAUGAGUUAAAAUAAGUUAAUUGAGUUUGAACUGGUAAAUAAGAAGAAUUUAUUAAUUUUAAAUCUAUUUUUUAUUUUCUUUUACUUUUUUUUUUUUCUUCUCUAUUUUCUUUCCCUUAAAUUUUCUCUCAAAUUUUUGGGGAACCCUUAAAAUUAUAGUUUAAAGAUCUCUUAUUGUUGUCAAAGAAAGAAACUUUAUUUUUUUCAAGGAGUUGUGUUGGAAUGCUAAUGAAAAUUUUCCCUAAUUCUUGUCAGUUUAAGUUGCUCUUGUGUUGUUAAUAUAUGCUUUAAGGGAUAGAUAUAAAGCUCAUCAUCAUGCACAUAUACAUUCAGGUUAUACUCUCUCUUAUGAUCAUUUUGAUAUUUCUUGUGCUCUACUUCAAAUCUUAGUUUCUUUCACAACUUCGCAUGAGGAAUGAACAAGAAAAUAGAAAUAUGAAAUAGAAUCAUAGAAUCAUCUGUGGGGUAUUGUGCAGUUGAGGCAGAAACUGCAUGCUUACUGUAGGAGGCUUUCAGUAUUAAUUCCAAGAGACAUGAUUUGCGUUGCAGCUUGUCCAGACCUAAAGGAAACAACAGCAGGAAAAUCAUUGAAAAUGGGACAAGAAAAAAACACCAAUUAACAUGUAUUAGGGAGAAUUAUAAGACAUUAAGAGCAGCGAUCUAAAAAUAAAAAUAGAAAAUUGUUUUUAAAAAUCUCUAACACUGUUUGAUCACUAUUUCCGAAAAUAAUUUUUAAAAACAAAGUGAAAUAAAAAAUAAUUUUUAGCGAACAAGUAAAAGUUUUUACGUUGUUUUCAUCAUUUUUUAAAAACAAAAUAAAAAUAUGGGCUCUAUUUGAUCACACAUUCUGAAACUUGUUUUUAAAAACCAUUUUUAAGUUAAAAAAUAAAAAAUAGUUUUUAGAAACAAGUUUCAAAAAACAUGGUCAAACGGGCCCUAAAAAACCCAUUGCAAAAUUAAUCCAAUUUCAUUAUAUUUUAACCACAUAUGAACCAUAUAUAUUAAUUUUAAUUGUUCCUAAUACAGUUUGGUUAUAUCCUCUCAAUUUUUAAGUUCUAUUUUAUGUGACAACACUUUCAUUAUUGUAGUAUAAAUUAAAAUCAAUAUGAAAUCUAUAACAAGAUGCCAUAUAGUACAAGUAAGAGACUUGUUCUCUUCCUUGAUUGAGACCCACAAUAAGCUACUAGGUUACAUUGCAUGUUCCAUUAUCUAAAGCCUCAAUUGUUCAUCAACAAAGAUAAACAUGGUAUGUAAAGUUAAAGACAACAAUACCUAUAUUGGAAAGAUUCCCACAUCAACCCAUAGAAAGGAUGGAAUAAGGUUUUCUUAUUUACCUCAGCUUGUAUGCCAUGUCCAAAUGGGGUUGUUUCUUCAUUUCAACUGUGGCUAUUGGGUGAAAUUAGAGUUUCCAUAUACAAGGUCACCCGGUACCAAUAAUCACUUUGAGGAGCCACAAGAGCAAUAUUCUCUAAAGCUUCUGUUUUGGAAUUGUAAAUAGCUAAUUCCAGUUUAUUAACCAGCACUACAAUGUCACCAUCCUUUGUAUAAUCAAAUGGAACCACUUUAGUUAUGGGGGAAGGUGGAAGUCUGAUCAAUUUAGUCCAAGAAUGUUUUACUCCAUACUCUUUCAUUCUCCAUAUCUGGUGACUAUCAUCAACAUGAUGUUGGAUCAUGGAUAGGUCUCCUCCCAAGACCCCAAGAGUUGGACAGGAUCCAAUACAUGUUUCAUCUGGAAGUGGCACUUCCAUGAAUUUCUCCUCCUUCAAAUCAAAAGAGACAACUCUAUUACCAAGAUGCAUGCCAUCACCAUCAGAAACCUUAUCUGUUGCCCAAUGUAGAGCUGUAUUGACAAAAACACCUGAAUGCUGAGAAGGAUGAUAAGUAGGAAAUUCUUGAAUUCUUCUCCAAGAAUUGGUUUUCAGAGAAAAGAUUUCUAUCGUGGAUUUGACAGGACUAUAACUACCUCGAAACAACUUGUAGUCAUCAGUAGAGGAGUCAUAACCAAAUCCAUGGAGAAGAUAUCCAUAAAAAGCCCGUCCAGAGUGGAUCUCCCCAGGAUAUGGUAAUGUCUUGUGUUCUCUGAUAGAUGGAUUCAAUAAAUGAAAGGUAUUGAAUCCAUAAACCGAACAUAUUAUGCCAUUGCAUGAACCCACGAGUUGGCAACCGAUCGAACAAAAACCAAUACCAACACAUGCAUUAUCAUUCACCAGAGUGUAAAUAGAGGUAUUUAAUUCAAAAUCCAUACAUACCUUACCCUUACAAUAACCCACUAUUUGGCCACGCACAGAAGGAGAAACAGCAUCAACAGCUCUAUCAAUAUUAACGUAAAUAGAGACCAAGAGUCUUCUAUUGUCCAAGUAAUUCCCUUUAUCAAUGGCUCGAGUCCAGUGCAAUUUUGUGAACUUGGGGUCAGUGAUCAAAGAGAGCCAUUGCUUGCAAACACAUGUGAAUCGUAUUAGACUCUUGACAGGUAGUCUUAAGAGAAUUUCCACAAUGAUAUCCUGGGUAAGGCCAGUCAUUGAUCCUCCUCUUUCUCUCUUAUCAGCUUCUGUUGAUCCGACUAAAUGAAUAAUGCCAUCAAGACCGGAUGUAAAAGGCAACUAGUAAUUAAGGGUCACACAAGAAGAGGGUUUUAAACCAAUUAUUUUUAUAUGCAUGCUAUUAGUAUAGCCAGCCAGUUUAUCUAUGUGGAAGCCUAUGCUUUAGAGGUUUUUAGGCUAAUGGGUGGCACUUAAUCCUUGUUCAUUCCUGUCCCUGCUUUGAUGCACGUAAAGAACAACAGCAUGAUUAUGAUCAUUUCACAUCACAUCACAUCCUGAUCGAAAGGAAAAAGAAAAAGCUAACCGGUUAGCUGAGAACAAAAGAGCAGCAGAACUAAUAGCAAAACAGAACAUAUACUAAUCCUCCAGACAAUAGAUCCUACAAGUUUCCAAAUAAAUUAGGCCAAAAACUUACCUGCUCAUUUCUGCAGGAUCUUGUUCCACCUGAACAGUGUAAACAUCAUGUUAAAGCCUUUUGAAACCAGGUGGUUAAUUUGAUUUUCCAAAUGAGAAAAGGAAACCAGAAAGAUGGAUUACCUUAAAUCUCCAAAACCACCCAGCUAGACUAAUCAUUCUCUUUCUUUGAUUUUCUUUCUCCUCCUGCCACCUCGAUCUCUUCGUUUGGCUUUUGAGGGUUGAUUCUAGUCGGGUUCCUGAGGUUCCGAGGAAGGGUGUCGGAGGUGUGUUAGAACUAACAAAUCUUAAAAAGAAGCGUUUUAUUAAAUAAAUGGUGGGUAGCCCCCAUUGCCGGCUUCCAUCAAAAGUGAAAACUCCUAUAUUUUGUCAUUUCCUCCUUUUAAUUAUCUCCUUUUCUUUAAUAUUAUUUCUUCUUUAAUAAUAAUAAAAUAUUAGUAUUAUUAUUAUCAUUAUUUUGAAGUGAUAUUGUGAAUAAUUAUUUCUUGUUAAAAAUACUAUGAACAAUAUUUAUAUUAAACAUAUUAUCACAUAAAAAAUUAAUUAACCAUGAAAAGUCUCAUGUAGAUAUAGAUUGUAGGUGUGACCAAAUGAAUUUAUAUGACUAUAUAGAUAUAAUCGCAACCAAGAAAACUCAUUUUUAACUUGUGAGAAAUAUUAGAUUUAAAGUAAAUAACAUCUACAUAAAUAAGAACAAGUUAUAAAAAUACUAAAUUAUAAGAAUCAAUUAGUGUCAGGACAUAGAUGAAAAAAAAACUAAUCAUCAUCGUGCUUUUGGUAAAUUGUUACACAACAAAAACAUAAUUUUUAAGAAACAAAAAACCAUUUACUAAGUAUUUGUCCACUAAUUAUAUUUCUUUGAACUUUUAAAAAUGACUUUAGAACUUUGUCAACCACCUAAGUCAUGUUUGUUUUGAUUGUUUUUUGUUUUCAUUUUUAAAGAAAAUAGAAAUCAAAGCCAGUACCAAGAUGGUAUUUUUUUGGUUUUCUAGAAAAUUGAGCUCAAAAAGGGAAAAAGUGAAAAUAAUGAUUUGGUGUUUUAUAAAAAUCUUUUUAAGAAAAUUGGAAACGAUUUUCUAAAUGUUAAAAACCAUACAGAAAAGGAAUAAAAUGGUAUAUAUAUAUAAAAAAAAAAUUAUGAGACCCAUGAUAUAAAAAGAUUACAAAUAUUACAUACAUGACAGAAAUGUUAAUACUGCUAGACAUAGAUUUGGUUAAUUUUGAUUUUGAUGAUAACAAAACAAGAUUUAGAUCUAAUGGUUAUAUUUAAUUGUGAUAAGCAAGAAGAUCAUCUUAAAGUCAUCAAGGAAGAAAAUACAUAGAGCAAAAGAGGAAAUUAAGAAUAGUCAAGAAAAGUUUUAUCAAGUUUAUUAUUAUGAUAUUUUAUAUAAGAUAAUGGAUGCAUUAAGUUAGGAUUACAUAUUUUUGUUAAAACACCAAAACAUUCAUCCAUGAGUUUUUAAUUAAUUUUACACUUUUAUUUUUGGAUGAAAAUAUUUUUAAGGAGACCUAGUUAGCCUAGGAGACUACCUUGAACCUUAAGUUUUUUUAUAAAAAACUCUCAAGAUUUUUUAAAAACAUUGUUGACUUAAUCAAAGUGCAUUAGAAUUGAAUAUCUAUUAAAACUUUGUUAGAAGAUGGUUUAUAUUCAUAUGAGUCAGAUAAAGAAUGUCUUAGUCAUAAAGCAUGUAUGAACUUUUAAAAUAUUAAGUUAAAGCACAUGUGGAUGACUGAGCAAUCAUCCAGUUGUCAUGUGGACAAUCACGUAGUCAUCCACUUAUUCUAUUGUGGUUGUUUUAGCUACUAGACGUCAUGUGGACGCUCAUGUAGACAUCUAAAUAUGUUUUUUGACCUCCAUCGACUCUUUGCACCUCAUUAAAUGCUUCAACAACCAUUAUGUGGACAACCAUAUAAACAUCUUGUUUAGGGAGACUUAUUCCUAAUGGCUAGUUUGAUGUUUUAUCUCUUAUAUAAGUGUAGAUCAUCCAUUUUGUUAUAUUAGCACAUGUCCUAUUAUGUGUUCGUUUGGUACUUUACAAUAAUUCCACGGUGGCCCAUUAGACACCACCUUGGAGACUUUGGUUGAAGGACUCAUUUGACCCCAUUGUGAUUCUGGGCAGCCUUAAUUUAGAUUUAAGUUUUUUUUUUCCUUCUUUGUUAGGAUAACAUUUAGAUACACUUUGCUCAUUAGGCACCACCUUAGGUCCACUUAAGUACUCUAGGCCCAUUUAGAUGCACUUGACCUAUUAGGCACCCUCUUAGGCCCACUUAGACACCCUAAGCUCAUUUAGAUACACUUGACCUAUUAGGCACCACUUUAGGCCCACUUAAGUACUCUAGGCCUAUUAGACAUCACCUUAGACCCACUUAGGCACCUUACGCUCAUUUAGAUGCACUUAGCCUACUUAGGCUCAUCUAGACACACUCUACCCCACUUAAGUUGCCUUUCAGGUGAUUUUUGCAUGUUUGCAUAGCUGGUAUGGAUUGCAUUUUUGUGUGGUUUGUAUGGUUGCAUGGCAUUCUUGCAUGACUUACAUGAUACUGGAUUGCAUGAUAUUUAUUUUAUUUUUUUAAUGAUUUUUAUUUUAUAAUUUUCUAGAAUACCUUUUAUUCAUUUAUUAAAUCUAAUAAUUUUACGUUUCUGUAGGAAACUUACCAAAGGGGCUUGGCAUGGAAAAAGGAAACAAGGCACCAUGUGCAUGGAUGGAAUGAGAGCUUUGUUCAGGGCAGCAUGUAUAUGGAUGGAAUGAGAGUUUUGUUCAGAGAGGGAAUCAGUCUGGAAACUUACCAAAGGGGUUUGGCAUAGAAAAAGGAAACAAGGCAGCAUGUACAUGGAUGGAAUGAGAGCUUUGUUCAGGGCAGCAUGUAUAUGGAUGGAAUGAGAGUUUUGUUCAGAGAGGGAAUCGGUCUGGAAACUUACCAAAGGGGUUUGGCAUAGAAAAAGGAAAUAAGGCAGCAUGUAUAUGGAUGGAAUGAGAGCUUUGUUCAGGGGGGAAUCAGUCCGGUGAGCAUGAGGGUCAUUUUUCUUUCCGAAAGGAAAAUGACCAAAGCUGGUUUUGGCAAGUAAAAAGAAAAAUGAUGAGCGUGAAGAGAAAGGAGGCUAGGAGAUAUAGAAGAAGGGGGAUUUUCUCCAUAGGAGAAGAGGGCGUUUAUUGAUUUAUUCCUUUUGGAAGGGUGAUAGGGAGCACGGGGAGGAGAGAUACAGUCCAUACACUACUAGGAAAGAGAGGAGAUUCCAGGCUGCAAAAAACAAGGGAACGAGAAGGAGAAAAGAAAGGAGAACGGAGAAAGGGAGAAGACACUUUUCUGGACUGUGGAGGGAGAAAAGAAGAGAGAACAGAAGAAGAGUGCAGAACCUAGUUGGAAGCAGGGGAGGACCUCACUGGUCCUGGGAUUCUUGAGAGGGAUAUUCGUCAGCCUGCGUCUUCCUAAGAUAAGUUCUUCAUUUUAAAUCCAUGUUCCUUUCUACUUUUAUUCCAUUUGCAAUUAUUGAUAUUUGUUUGGAUGAUUGGAGUGGCCAUCAUUUUGGGUUCUUCAUGGAUUGCUUGCAGUUUAUGGACCCAUAACCAGAGCACAACUCGCCCCUGAAGAAUCUGGGAAGAGAAAAUCCAUAAAGACAAGCGUCCAUAGGAUUGGCAACUGCAAACCCAUCGAUAGAUAUGGGAUUUGAAGCCAAUCUGGGAAUUUUUCAGCAUCAUCUUAUGAAUACUUGAAUUUCUAUUGCGAAUUGGAACUGUUCCGGUUUUCAAGAGUGUGGUUUCUUUCGUGUUUGGGUUGACUGCAGUUUAGUUUGCCUUGGGGUUUGCGUGGAUCAAUAUGAUUCGCUCCAUCAUUGAUCAAGAAUGGGUGGCUUCUAUAUUAACAGUGUCAGAUUGAUUUCUUCUCCAAGAAUUGCACUACUCCACUACUCAUACCCCUCGCUUCAUGCACUCCAUAAGACAUUUGAAAUCCAUGCACAUAUCUAAGACUCUGUGCAACAAAUGUGAGACAGCAGCCGUCUGAUCUAGGGAGCCUGUAGGAAAUAAGGGGAAUUAUAGGCGUCGGUCUCUCCUCGUUCGUUUUCAAUGAUUCUCCAAUUCGUCUGUUGCUUAUUUAGAAGAGAGGUGUAGAUGGAGUUGCAAAUCAAGGUCGCCCAGGCUGUUCACGCCCUCAAUCAUGACUCUCAGUCCCGCAACCGCGUGGCUGCUAAUCAGUGGCUCGUCCAGUUCCAGCAGACAGACCUUGCUUGGGAUGUCGCCAUCUCCAUCCUCACUUCCGAUCAUCAUCGUCAUCAUCACCUCGUUCUUCAUUCACUGCUUACGGUUUCUGCUCUCAGUUUACUGUUCAGGACAGAAAUACAAUAAAUAGCAGCUCUCCUAGUGUUUGUGAUGGUUAUGUGGCAUUGUUUGUUCGGAUGUUUGGGCUAGAUAAUGAUCCUCUUGAUAGGGAACAGGCAAUAGUAGCAUUGUGGAAAAUAUUCACUUGGAGGAAAGUAGUAUAUUGAUGCCAUAAUGCAAUUCCGAGGCUGCUUAAAUCUCACAGUAAAUCUCCUUAAAUCAGGCUCCAGUUGUACUUGUGAAGCAGCUGCAGGCCUUCUUCGAGAAAUAUCUUCAAUUAAUCUAUACAGAGAGUCAGUAGCAGAAAGUGGGGCAAUAGAAGAGAUAACUGGUUUGUUGAGGCAUUCUUCCUUGACAUCUGAGGUGAAGGAGCAAAGUAUUUGUACUUUAUGGAAUCUGUCUGUAGAUGAAAAGCUCAGAAUGAAAAUUGCUAACACUGAUCUUCUGCCGCUAGCAAUCAAGUCCCUGGAGGAUGAGGAUAUUAAAGUGAAGGAGGCAGCUGGAGGGGUUUUGGUAAAUUUGGCACUAAGCAAAUCUCUUCACAGCAUCAUUGUUGAAGCAGGUGUUAUUCCAAAAUUGGCAAAGCUUUUAAGAAUUGAUGUAGAAACGCAUUGCUGGAACUUGCUAAGGAUGAAUAAAAUAGAAUUCUCAUCAUUGAGGAGGGUCUUGUCAUAGUGCCAAUGAUUGGUGCGGCUGCCUACAAGGCCAUGACACCAGGUUUGUACUCGUGGCCUUCUUUACCUGAUGGUACGAAGAUCGAACAGAGUUCCAAAGCUCCCUCAAAGUAUGGCUCCUCUUAAUUACUCCUUAGAUUCAAUAUUGAUGACAAGAAUGCCGAAAUAGAUAAAAGCAAGAUAAAUGCAGUAGUUGGGCGUACACAGCAACAGUUUCUUGCUCGUAUUGGGGCUAUAGAAGUGGAAGAUGAAAGAAAAUCCCAAUCUGUAUCCACAAGUCAGCAGUUUACACUUUUGCCAUGGAUGGAUGGUGUUGCUUGGUUAGUUCUGAUUCUUGGGCUUGAAGAUGAGUUGGCCAUUUCAAGAGCUGCAGAAUCAAUUUCUGAUGCAUCUAUUAAUGAGCAUAUGCGGAUCUCAUUCAAGGAAGCUGGAGCCGUGAAGCAUCUAGUUCGACUUUUAGACCAUAAUAAUGAUUCGGUCAGAUUUUCUGUAACUUGUGCUUUGGAAAGGUCAACAACAGCAUCUGCCAGCUAAUUGAAUCUGAAGGUGUUAUGUAUCCUUUACUUAAUGCUCUGAAGCACUCAGGGACAUCUGAAACUUUGAUGGAAAAGACUUUGGAUAUUUUGGCACGGAUUUUAGACCCUGGUAAAGAAAUGAAAUCAAAGUUUUAUGAUGGACCAGUUAAUGGAUCAAAGAAGGGAUUGAAUGCAAUGGGAAGCCCUGAUGCCACUAUUUGAUUUGUUGGAAACAUGGACGAGACAGCUGUAUCAGAAUCAACUACAGGGAAAGAUGUCAUGGACUCUGCUGUCAUUACUCGCCUUAUUGAAAUUUUAAAGACCCAAUCCCCAAAUUUGCAGAGAAAAGCACCUUCCAUCCUUGAGUUCCUGACAAUUAUUGAGCAACACUUGGACACAAUCCUUUCAGUAGACAUUGAAUCUGGUUUGGAAGCUGUUUUCCAACAGAAGAUUUUGGACUAUACAGAAUCUGAUACGGAUGAUCUGGAGCUUACAUUCAGGAGUGGGAAAACUUGUGGUUAAGGUUUGUAUAGGAUUUAGUCUGGUAAUAUAAGAACAAGAGGAAAGCAAUCCGGCGGAUCAUCAACCAUUUGGUGACUCAUUGACAUGCAUGGAGAACGUCUUUAGAUUAGAAAAGACUGCAGAGUUUUGGCUCUCCAUGACUCCAUUUUCAUCAUUGGAAACCAGUCCAUAAGAAAGUGAAAAGCAUAUCAGAACUCCAGCUUUCCAGUGUGUAGAAAAGGACAGAAUGGCAGAUGCAGUCGCUGAAGAAAUGUUGAUUCAAAUUGAAUUCUGCUUAAUACAGGAUCGGGCAGCCCACUGUCAAUCCCAUGAAAAACUGGGAUGUAUCCUUAAGAAAUAAGCCACGCAUUGGGGAAAGUGGGGCUGCAGAUUUGAUUCCAAAAAGGUGCAGCUGCACCAUGGCAUUGCAUAUAGACAUAGCCGGCUCCACUCCUUUGGCCACAUUGGUGCAUACCUCUUCCUCUAUUUGUUUCUUUGAUUGAGAAUUUACAGUUUUAAAUUGAAUUUUCAAAUCCUUUUCAAUUGAAUAAUUCUAACUUUAAAAAUCCAUCUCUAGAUUUCUUCUAAGCAAUAAGAAUCCUCAUUUUCAAUUUAUUUUUUGCUGCCAAAUUUCUUUCCCACAUGCAUUUUUUAUUUUAUUUUAUUUCUUUCUUUUUUCAUGAUUUUGUUGAUUUUUAACAAGCAUGAACAAACUUCAUGUAUCCAAACAAUGGAAUUCAUAAAAUCAACUCAUGCAAAAUUAAUUAGGGCUUUGGAGGGGGCUCAACAUUCAUGAUUUUCUCUUCAAUAUUGUUUGUUCGAUAUCUUUGAUUGUGCUUCCUCUUUGUGGUACAUGAGAUGAUUUUACACCUAUCAUUGAGCCAACCUUGUUCCUCAUUUUAGCGCUUAACUUGCUACCCAGGUACGCCUUCUAUCACCACUUUCUAAAUUUUGUGAAUAUGUUUGUCACUGUGAACUACAUCUAUGUUUGAUAGCACUUGGAUGUCUUGAUAUUUGUUUCAUUGUUCAAUUAUUUUUUAUAAAGUGCUUGUUGAAUGAUAUACUAUUUGAACUAACUUUGAUGUUUUUGUGAUAACGCUUAAGAAGCAGUCCAGGUACACACCUUAAAUCUUUUUUAUGAUUUGUGAUUGGUUUUCUUGUUUGGCAUGCUAUUUUUUGAAAUCACCUAGCCAACCUAGGUAUCUAUAAUAAACUAAUUAAUUACCCUAUUUCCCUCAACUUAGUUAAUAGAGACCUUUGUAGGGCUUAGAAGAGUACUACCUUUUAGAGGUACCUUCCCAAUAGGUAACUUGAUCCCCGGACCUAGACUCGGGUUUUUCAAAAACACGCUUUUCCAAAAAUUAUGGAGUCGCUUCUUUAGGGUUUUAUUUCUUAUUUUAUUUUUCCUUUAAAAAAAAUAAAAUAAGUGGCGACUCCAACUUUUCAAAAACUAAUUUUUUUACCAAAUAAAAGUGAGUCUCGCAACUGAGUAGGGGUGCAUGUGAAAAUGCGGGUCCACAAUAAGACCCUAUACUUAAUUUAUAAAAGAUAUAAUAUUUUCAAAGUACUAUUCAAUCAUCUCUUAAGCCUUAGGAAAAAAUUUCGAGUGCAUUGAGUUUAAAACUUGCAUUUCAUUUUGGUACAUCUUUUAAUCCUAGUUUCUAUGCAUUCAUUUGUGCCAAAUUUGUAAACUAAGAGUUUAUCUUUGUAAAAUCAAAAUUAUAAACCUUAUGAAGGUGAGCUCAAGUGUGGUGUAUCACUAAGAUAUUACUUUAAAAAAUUUAAAUGUGGGGUAUCACUUAAAAGGAAAAAAUUUAUGUAAGUUAUCACUUAGGAUUUGUCAAGUAUAAGGUAUCACUUGGGAACUUCAAGAGUGAGACAUCUCUAGAGAAAAAUUAUAAGGCUACGUUUGGUUAACAUGAUAAAAUAGGAUAGGAUAUGUAUAUUUUAAGAUAUCAUAUCUCAUUGGAUAUGAAAUAUAUAUUUUAGGAUAUGAUUUCCAAUUAUAUUAUAUAUCAUUUGAUAUAUGUAUCCUAUGAACAUAAUAUUAUAAGGUAGUAUAUCAAUGAGAUAUGUUAUGUUAAAUUACGUUUAUAUUUAAUUUAUGAAACGAAUAAAAAAUAAUAUAAAAUAUGUAUUCUUUUUAAUGUUUAAAAUAAAAUUAUAUCACUUUCUAAUAUUUUUUAUUUAAAACAAUGAAAUUUCUCUUAUAUCUAAAAAUAUUUAUGAUUAAAAUAUUUAAACCUUAUAAAUAAAAGUUUUUAUAUUGUAUUAUUCAAUAUAUAAAAAUAAUUUAUAUAUCAUAUAUUAAUAUUAUUUUAUAAAUAUUUUUAAAUUUUCUUUUUUAACCAUAAAUUUAAUUUAAAAUAAAAUAAAUUAUUUUACAAAAUGAGUAUAUAAAAAAAAUGAUAAAAAUAAAUAAAUUUGUGACAUAUAGGAUAUGUAUAUCACAUAUCUUACCAUGAAAUUAACAUAGCUUAUGUUGAAGGGAUAAAAAAAAUGUAGAUAAUAUAUAAAAAAAGGUAAAUAACAUACCCCACCACUUAUUCUAUCUCAUAUUUGGUUAAACAUUGGAUAAGAUAAAUGAUGACAUAAUUUAUCUUAUCCCAUCACUAACUAAGCAUGAAAUAGAGUUUAAUAUUCUCUCUCUUAUCCUAUCUCUUACUAUAUCGAACUAACCAAAUAUGACUUAAGUGUUUAUUGGAGUUGGUUAAUUAAAUCCGUGUUAAAUAUAGGGGUGCAACUUGGGUGGGAACUAACCCAAAUCAAACUUGACUAUUAGACAAGGUUGGGUAAUCAUUUUUAAUAUCUUAAUUGAAUUUGUAUUAAGUUUUUUCCAACUCCAACUUAAUUUGUAUUAGACUUAGACCUAGUUUGGACAAUUGAACAUAACCCAAAUCGGAUUUAAUAUGUUGGUAAUAUUUACCUCAUAUUAUCUAAUAUAUAUAAUCAAAUAUUAUCUUCAAAUAUCUUAUAGAUAUUGUGUUUCUUUAUUAAACUAUGGAUUAUAAGGGGAUACAUUGUUAUAUUAGAAUAAUUUAUUUGAUAAUUAUUAAAUAUAUUAGAAUAGGUUAAUAAACCAUUUUAAAAUAAAAGAUAUUGGGCAAUUAUUAUUAAUAUUUGGAUUGGGUUUGAUUAGGUUUUUCCAACCCUAACUCAAUUUGGAUUAAACUUGGACCAAGGUUAGGAAAACCCAAACAUAACCCAAACCUUAUUUAGUAUGUUGUGAUAUUUGUAAUUUAUAUUCACCUAUAUAAUCGUUUUCAAUUUAUUUAUGUUUUUUAUAAUUUUAAGAAAAAUAUCAUAUUAUAACUAUAUCAUAUACUUUUUCUUUUUUCUUAAAAGAUAUAUAAUUUAAUUUUACUCUUUUUCAAUUAUUUUAAAUUUUAUUUCGUUUAUUAUUUAAAUAUUGAUAUAAAUAUAUAGAAAAAAAAUAUAAUCCAACCAACUCGAAAGAGAGAUUGGAUUGAAUUCCGAUUGAGUACCUUAAGUUGCAAUUGUAGUUAUAUAAAAUUUUACUCAAAUUUCUUUCCACCAUUUUUUUUUUUUUUUUUUGUUAAUGAAAACUCAACCAAACAAGAUUUUACAAAUUUCACUUUCUAAAAGCAUUUUUUGCUUUUUUAAGAUAGACGAAUUUAAAAGAAAUAAAAAUUGUUUAUAAAAAAAUGAAAACUAUAAAAUGUUUACCAAACUUUAGUAAGGAAACUGUUUCAAAGUAUUAGGAGCAAUGCAUUCUGCCCAUCCCAAAAUCACUUCCUAACACUCCAUUUGAUAGUGAUUCUAGGAAGUACUUUGAACUUAAAAGUGAUUUUGAAAAAUCAGUUGUAAUAUUGAAAAAUCACUUAUAGUGUUUUCUAAAGAAACACUUCAUAAAUGAUUCACCUUAAAACAUUUCUUAAGAAAACACUUCGAAUAGAAACACUCUCAAACACACUCUUAAGAGUUCGUUAAGAAUAAUUUUAGGAAGUGUUUUUAGCUUAAAAAAUGUUUAUAAAAAAUAAUAGAUGUUUGGUGAAAUUUAGGAAACACUUUUAAAAUUCUGAAAAAUCACUUUGAUAUAUAUAUAUUUGUAAACACUUGAUGGAUGAUUUUCCAAAAACCACUUUAUGAUAAAACACUUACACUAUAAAUAUUUUAGGAAGAAACACUAUCAAACAUACUCUGAUAUAACUAUCACUAAAGAAACACCUGGCAUGAAAGAAGGAAAGGAAGAUUAAUGACCAAGAGAAAUGCAUGUUGGCGAGCACAUUAUUACAACUGUUAAAGUAUUAAUUCGAUGAAUUAAUGGUGAUGUCUUUACAUCUUGCUCCAUUAUCUGCAAGCACAGAGAAGAAGAGAGAAGAAAAAUUACAAGUCCAUUCACAUGGUAGAAUGGGAAGUGAAGAAGAAAUAGUCAUGGUGAUCAGCUCUGAGUUGCUUCAGCCAGGAAUCUGCAGCACAAUGAAGGUAAACCAUCUUCUCAUGAUCAGAAGUCUGUGGCUUUAUCCAAAGGUUGCCUUGCAUCUUGUAUGUAGCCAAGCCAAAGGGAUGAAGGGAAACCCUGCUACUCCUCUCUCCCUUAGAUUCCCCUUCUCUGCAAAAACUGCUUUUCCUUUUGUCGCCAUCAUCAUCCACAUCCACUACAACAUCUAUGGGAUCAAAUAAUUAUAGUUAUAGGUUAUAACAUGUGUCAUAUACUUACCCAAUUCAUAUUCUUAAUCUUACUUUAGUAGACAAUUAGUAUUAAUUAUCCUUGUAUUGAUUAUGCAAAUACCUUGGAAAGAUGAAGACAACGUAUGGUAUGUGAGGAAGCAUGUGGACAAGUCCUUCACAUUUCUCCCCAGUGGAAUAUGAUAAAUAGGAUACCUAAUGAAUAUUCAACCCAGAAAGAUAAUGCCUUCAUGUUGUUAAUAACUUCAAAGAUAAACGUUUCAACAAUACCAGUUAUAAGAAAAAGAAUAAAUUCACUCAACUAAAGACAUGCCUUUGACAUCUCAUAUAGUAGGUCACUCACAAAUUUUCAUAGGGCCAUGCUUGCUUGGGUGAAAGUACUAUUGAUAGAGAAAAAAAUACAAUAAAUAAAUAAAUAAAUAAAAAUUUUCAUGUUUGGUUUUAUUGUGAAAAAUACAAAAGAAAGUCAAAAAUAUAAUUAAAAUAAACAAGAAAUUUAUAGACACACACAUAUAUAUAUAUAUAUAUAUAUAUAUAUAUAUAUAUCAAAGUUACAUAAGUAAAAUGAAUUUGAAAUAAGAUAUGAAAAUAAUUUAUUGAUUUUAAAUCUAUUUUUUAUUUUUUUCAUUUUUUUUCUUCUAUUUUUUUUUUUUUUUCGUUUUCUUUUCCUCAAACUUUCUAGAACCAAAUAUAAUCUAAAUAAUUUUUAAAUUCUCUUAUUUGAUUAAAUCGCUUUACCCCAUGAUUGGUAUUAACCCUUGAUUUUAACUCUUUAUUUCAAGGUUUCUCUUCACCAAACAAAAACACCAAUAUCAUCACAAAAUUCUACUAAUUUUCUAAAAAUUUGAUUACAUUAAUAACAUGAUUAUAAGCGUGUUUGACAAGAUUUUAAGAGAACACUUCUAGUAAAAGUACUUUUGAAGAACAACCAGACAUUUGACAAAUUUGAAAAAUCACUUUUAAAAAAUUGAAAAAAUCAUUUAUAAUGUUUCUAAAUAAGCAUUUGAUAUACAUUUCUCCUAAAAAUAUUCUUAAAGCAAAUAUUUUUACUAAAAAUGCUUCGAAUAAAAAUAUUGUAAAUGUACUGUGUAUCCUUACCAAGCUACAGCCAUCCAACUAGCUGGAGAGAGAUCCACACUCUUCAAUGUCAUCAAUGCAGGAUAAUUCUUACUUAGUUCAACUAUCUGAAACCAAACACAUGGAGUCAACAUCACAUUCUUCUCACAACUCAAAAAUAAAUACCAUAUCCAGACCUACAUUUUUUUUUACUGAAAAAUAGAAUGAAUUAAGGAACUUAAACACAUAAUAACCACCUUGUCCAUGAGUGGGAUCCUCCAGUAAGGAGAGGACAUCUCAUUAUGCUGCAAGUAAAGGUAGCCAAGGUGAUUUUUCAUAGACAAGGAACCCUCAGGGUCAGAAGUCAAAUCAUCAGAAAUGGUGUCCCAAGUUUUGCUUGAGUUGUUGCUUAGAGAUCUUGACAAUUUAUCAUUCUCACUAUCAUCACUCCAACAAUCACUCUCAGGAUCUGCAGUGUCACUGUCCUCCUUUGGAGUCCUACAUCAAAACAGUCAAAAAAAAAAAAAAAUUGCCAUUUUUACCACGGAUUCAUCAAAAAGGGUAAUGGAACAUGGAGAUCAAGAACAUGAUUAAUAUCUUAUAGACCUGGGAGUGGCCAGAGAUUUGCUGGUGUAAAUAUGAAUAGCAGAUAGAUAAGGAACAUAGUAUUGCAUAAUGUUUUCUCCACCAUCCAACUUGAGUGGGAUUCCAAUCCCAUAUGCACUCCAUUCAUCAUAGCAAUCCCAAAGAUCUGCCAAAGUGAAGUAGUCAAUUUUAUCCUGGCCAGGUAGUCUCCAUCUGUUGUUUAAAUCUUGAACACAAUCCUGCAUAAAUGGAUAUUUCUUUUUCCCUUGAGCAAAGCAAGAAAGAAAAGUAAUUGGACUUAAGACUGUUAAACAUUGGAACAAGGUACAAGUAUUACAAAUGCAAGAAGGAAAACGCAAAAAAAUACUAUGGAUAUAUUUGUUCGUACUAAGAAAAGAAAAAAAAAUAUUAAGAAAAAUAAUUUCCUCAUAUUUGAUUUCUUUAAAAAAAAUUAAAAAUAAUAUUAAAUAUGAUUAAAACUAAUUUAAAAUUUAUAUAUUUUCAAAUUAUUUAAUUUUUAUGUAUAAGAAAAGAAACAUGUGAAAUGAGUUUAAAUUAGCAUGUAAAAUAAUUUAUUGAUUUUCAAUCCAUCUUUUAUUUUUCUUAUUUCUUUCCUUCUACGUUUCCUUUUUGUUUUCUUUCCCUCCUUAACUUUUCUAAGAACCAAACAUAGCUUAUAUAUAUUUUUUCUUUUUCAUGUACAUAGAUUAAUUACAUUUUGAGUCCAUUGGACGGUGAUUCUAUAAAACACUUUUAGUUUAAAAAAUGCUUUUGAAAAAAAAGUUAAGUAUUUGAUAAAAUUUAAAAAAAAAAAAAACAGUUUCAAAAAUCAGAAAAAAUGAGUUAUAGUGUUUUUUAGAUAAAUAUUUGAUAAGUAAUUUUUCUAAGAACAUUUUUAGAGAAAACACUUUUAUUAUACUUCGAGUAGAAACACUAUCAAACUCUUCAUUUCUCAUGAUUGUAGACCUUAAUAUUUUAGGUUACCUGAGAAAGGGAUUGUGAAGGAACAAUUGGAGUUACUCCAUUAAGAAAGCAUUCAAGAUUUGAAUGCCAGGUUGUAAGAGAAUCCAUUAAUCCCUGCAACAAAAUCAUCACACCAUGAUAUAACCAAACAGAUGGUAUAAAUAUCAAACUUGGUUAAGAGGAAUAGAAUCUUGUACAUAUCAUCAACUUCCAUUAAUAAAUUAUAAAAAUAUGUUAUUAACAGUCUAUUUGAUAAUAAUUUUAAAAAAUAUUUUUAGUCUUUUUAAUAUUUGAAAAAUAAAAAAUUUCUAAUAUUAAAAAGGUUUGUACAAAAAUUCUUUCCUUGAAAUUGAAUUAAGUGGAAAAGGCAGAUUUCAACUAUUGCAUUAUGUGAAUUAUAUGUCAUGCUACAACAUCUAUUAAAGAAGCUGGUGAAGAGACAAAUUAAAUUAUUUCAAAAAUAUGAGGGAGAAGUUGGAAAAAUAAUUGAAACGAUAAAAUCAAGUACAGAAAAAUUCUAGAGAGAGGGUGAUAAAAAUUUGAGACAGAAAAAAGAAGGAUAUCUCAAGUAAUUUCCAAAAGGAGCAACUUAUUAGUAUUUCCAAGAUUUUGCUAUAAAUUCUUAGAAUAACCAAGCAUAUGCAGAUCUCCCCAAAGUUAUUGUCAUCUUUUUUUCUCAACAAACUAGCAGAGAGAGAGAGAGAGAGAGAGAUUUGAUCUCCCCAAAGUUAAUGUCAUCUUUUUUUCCUCAACAAACUAGCAAAGAAAAGAGAGAGAGAGAGAGAGAGAGAGAGAGGAAGAAGAGUCAAUGUUGUUUCUGAGAAACCUUCAAUUGCAAAAACUGAAGAUACAUCAUGACCUUAGAAACCCAUAUAAGGUUGAGAAUAAGUGAUCAUGCCAAAUAGAAAAACAAUGUUAUAUCAAUAGGAUCUUUGGGCUAUAUGGAAAACACAAAACUAACCUUUGUGUUUGGCUUUGAAUUGACUCUUGCAAUGGCAGAUGAGCCUCGUUAAUAUAGCAGAUGGGUCUGGUGAAAAGGAAAAACAAUGGAAAUAUAGAAAAUCUAAAGAUAAAGACGACAGAGAAAAGAAGAAAGAGAAACUAAAGAAAUUUUCUUACAUGGUGAUUACCCUGCAUUCAAUAUGGUCUGCAGAGAAAGAAGAAGAUCACUUUAUUACUAUAAAGAAGAGUAAUUUGUUUUCUUAGAUUUUCUCUUUUAAUAAGGAAAAAAGGAGAUUCUCUGGAUUUUUUUUUUGUAGGAAAAAAAGGGAAUUUGAAAUUUUUUCCCUUUUUGCUUUGGAGUCAUUCGACAUAUUCGUUAACAUAUUAUAUCCUCUUCUUUGCCUUUCUCAGACUUGAUAUCCAUUAGGAUAUGUUUGGAUCUCAGGAAACAAACAAACAAAUUAGAAAAACGAAAAAAAAAAUAAAAAAAGAAACCAAAGAAACUGUCCAUUGAUUAAAAGAAACAUGACAAGUGAAAUAUAGUAGAGAUCGAUUUUGAAUUGAAUUAAUAUCUUGAAAAAUCAAUGCUUUCUCUGAGUGCCCAUGGCCAGUGGAUCAGUUUCAGUUUCUUUGAUGACCUGAAGUUUGUUCUGAAUCGUUACCUGCAUGGUUCUUGAAUUUGGUAUUGAUUGCGAGGGUGUUAAAUUUGUAAAUAAAUUCUGAGUGUUAUAACUUCACAGUUAUUAAUUUCAUGCUCCAGAGAGGUUUAAAUUCAUUAAGAAAAAUGAUAAAUGACUUCAGGUAUCAUUGAGACCUGCUCUGCAUGCAUGGUUGAUUGGAGGGACAGAAACAAUAUUCAUUUUGCUCAGCCAGAUAUUAUUUCCAACGUACUGCUCACGCACUUGGAAUAUGCAUGCAUGGCGGUAGCGAUGGAAGCAGGGUGGAAGGGUGUACAGCAGCGGCAGUGGUACCGGUGGUUGUGCAUGGUGGCGGUGGCGGCACCAGGUGAGGUGAGGAUGGUGGUGGUGGAGGUGAAAGGGAUGAGAAGGAUGGUGCAUUUCGGCUAGGGUUAAACUAUACAUGGGACAUUAAUAAACUAUAAAAGUAUCUAAUAUUAUUUAUCUAUACAUUCAAUAUACCAAAAUUCCUAGUUUUUACUUCUACCAAAGUUAAUUAAUUAACAAAGUGCUACACCAAUAUUCCAACAUCCAAGUUCCAAAUUUCUAAGUAUCUAACCAAUAAAAUGAACAAAAAAACUAUUAGAUCAAUUUGUAUGUGCAACCAUAAUUACAUAUUUGAAUGAACAUAGAUUACAUAUAAACAAAACAAAACAAAACAAAAAUAAAAUAAAAUUGCAAAAGUUAAAGGCUCUCUUAGGAAGUGUUUUCAAAAACAAUUUUAAAAAUUAUUAGAGUUUUUUUUAAAAUUAUUUUCUAAUGUUUUGUAAAACAAAAGCCUAUUUACAAAUUUAAAAUGUUCUUAACUUGUUUUAUAUAUUUUAAAUAUUUUUAAAAAAAUAAUUUUUAUUUUCUAUCAUUCUUCAUCUUUAUAUAAUUUUUUUUUAAAACAAUCUUAAAAAAAAAACGUGAAAACAACUCAAAUAUAUUCUAAAAAAAAUACAAUUUCUUAUGUUUUCUAGUUGUCAACUAUGUUUUUUGGGUUUUUUGUUUCAAGAGAACAUGAAACUAUUUUCAAAACUAGUUAGCAACAAAGACAUGAUAUUCUUUAUUAAUCAUCCUCAAUAAUCAAGAUCUAUAUAUAUCGAUACCAUCCUUAACAUCUCAUGAGAUCAUAUUAUUGCUAACAUAUUCUUCUUCCUCAUUGUCCUCAAUUUCAUUAACCAUUUUCAAUAUAAUUAUUUUCUUCAACUUGAAUAAUUAUAUUGUGGUGGAUUUUAGAGAAAGAAUUUGCUAGUAAGUUAGAUUAGCUGGAUAUAGGUUGGCAAUCUUGUUCUAAACAUUAAUGGUCCAGAACUAGCUAUGUGCUUCCAUUGGACUUUUGGGCUUUGAAGAUUCAGGUUAAGACAACUUAGCUUAGCAAUAUAAAAAGUACAUAGGCAUGCAAACAUUAAUUUUUGAAAGAUGAGUAGUAAAUAAAAAGUACAUAGGCAUGCAAACAUUAAUUUUUGAAAGAUGAGUAGUACAUUAAGCAAAAAAAAAAAAGCUACAAAAUAAUAAGAGGGCUCAAGCACUCACUGUGAAAAUUUGUUUUUUGUUUUUUUGGUAAUUUUGAAAAUUAUAGAAAUCUAUUUUGUGUAUGCAUUACUUAGACCGAGCUACUGAGCUUUUUACUCUAUAAAUAUGCCUAUUUGUGUUUAAAAUUCUCACACAUUUAUAAUUUCACACGAUCAUUAUCCUAUCAAAACAUUCCCAAACUAUUAAAGUCGAUUUCUUAUUCAAGAAGAGCUUAUAGUUGACUACAUUUCCAUUAAAGAGUUGAGAUGUCUAUUAAGGAGUUUGAGGUGAGUGUGAAAGCUGAGUGUAGUUGCUAACUAAAGCAAGUCUAUAGGGAGAAUGUAGCAUUUGGAAUUGGGUCUAGGCAAAACUAUAUACUUGCUUUUUAUAAUUAAUAGAUUUGAUCUAUGAUUGACUAAACCCAUGAUUUUUACAAUUGUAGGGUUUUUGUGAGACUCUAUAAAAAGAAUAUCAAUAAUUGUGAAAAACCUAAUUUUUGGGUCUAAAUAAUCUGAUUAUCGAUUGAUACCCCUGUCCUACUCCAAGGCAGUUUUAGAAAUCAAGAACAACAAACUUUCAUUGGUAUUAGAGUAUGUUAAAUUCAAAAAUAAUUUUCUUUUAUUCUUAUUUAUUUUCUUCAUUCAUGAAACUACAACAAAUGAGAUCAUCUAUUAAUAAUAUUCCCUCCUUUGAUGGAAACAAUUGUCCUCAUUAGAAAGCUUAUAUGGAUUUUUUUUGUCUUUCUUAAAAAAACAUGAGGUAAAUAAGUUUGGGAAUUUGGACAGGGACCUCCAUUAAAGAUGGAUGUUGUUGAGACAUCAAUUGGUGAAUUUAAUUCCAAAUAUGAAUGGGACAAACUUGAUAAGAAAUAAAGUGAAGCAAAUGUUAGAGCUCUUUAUAACAUUUCUAAUGGUGUGAGUCCCCAUGAAUUUCACAUGACAGCAACAUUUAAAUGUGCUAAAGAGACUUAGGUGGUGUUUGUUUUUUGGCUGAAUAAAAAAAGUCAAAUAUUUUGGCUUUUUCUAUUAAGCUAAGAAUAACAUAUUAAUAUCAUCCAACAUAGAGCAAUCGAUCCUAUUACCAAUCAUUCUUCAUAAACUUUCUCCCAUGCAAGAUUAGUCUUACUUGGGGGGGAUUGGUAAUUGGUAAUUGAAUCNNNNNNNNNNNNNNNNNNNNNNNNNNNNNNNNNNNNNNNNNNNNNNNNNNNNNNNNNNNNNNNNNNNNNNNNNNNNNNNNNNNNNNNNNNNNNNNNNNNNUAUCAAUAAGUUUAAUUUAAUUAUAUUGGAUAAUAUCAAUAGGUUACUUUUAGCUGAAUAGAAAAAGCCAAAAUAUUUGGCUUUUUCUAUUCAGCCAAAAAACAAACACCACCUUAGAAUAUUCAAUUUGUUACGCACGAGAGUACUUCAAUUGUAUCCAAAUACUAACUACUAAGUUCAUAAGAAUGUAAGUAGAUGAGAACUUUUCUUAUUUAUAUGUUAAAUUAAAUAAUAUAGUCAAAUCAAAUUUCAAUAUGGUUGAUGAGAACUCAAUCUCGAUACUUUAAAAAGUAUAUUUUAGUGUGUUUGAGGUACUCAGUAAUCCCAGUGUUACUUUUUGCUACUAGUAUCUUACGAAAAUUAUUUUGAUGUGUAAGGUAUUUUUAAUGUAGUUCCAACAAUUCACAAAGCAUGAAGAACCUAAGUGAGGAAAGUGCACCUCUAGGCAAGAAGAUCCCUCAAUUUAAGGUGGGUAGAAAAAUCCAUAAAUCCAUUCCUUAGAGAUUUAAACUUAAGGUGACUAUCAUAGAAGAAAUUAACCAAAGACAUUGACUCUGAAAGUUGAAGAACUUCCUAGGUCUCUUCAAACCUAUGAGAACCUAAUUCAAAGAAGCUUAAGGAAGCAACUCUAAAAGUUUCUACAAAUGAUAGUAACGAGUCUAAAUAACCAAAUAAAUAAUGUUUUGACUCUUUUUUUUUUUAAUCAUCUUUCCUUAUUUACUAAGAAAUUUAAGCAAAUAAUAAAAGUUCACAAAAAUAUCUUGAAAAAUCAGCCUCAAAGAAGGGAAAAUGAUUAAAAGUAAGCAAAUAAAAAGAAAAACAUCCAUCUAAGAAUCAAAAAAUUGAAUAUUUAACUGUAUUGGAAUAGAGCAUAUGGCAUUUGAUUACCCAAUUAAGUCCUAAAAAAAGUAUUAAAAAAACGAUACAAGUGAUUUGGAGUGACACCAAAUCUGAAGAUUGUAAGUCAGAUGACUAAAAUGAAAAUCAAAGAUGACUCUAACUCAGUUGCAGUUUUACUUCCCUAACUGAUUAAGAAUAUGAUCCUCUAAGUGAAAAUCAAUCAAAAUUGAUUUUUAUGAUACACAUGUUGUCUACGAUGCCUUUUAUGAAGAAAGAUUGAAAAUUAACACUAGAAGUGUCAAAAUGAGUAGGAAAUCAUUAAAAACUAAAGAACUUUAUGAUAUUUUAUACUUUAUAAUAUUUUAAAUUUUGAAAAUGAUGCCCUACUUAAUAAAAUUGACACUCUAGAAUCUAAUAAAAACUACUUGCUUGGUAAAGUGAUAGUUCAUAGAUUGAACAUAAUAUCAUUCUUGAUAAAAAUAAGUCUUUAUCACUUGAAAUGGACAAGACGAGAAAGGACGUGGCUAGAACUAGCAAAAGACUUCAUUUGGGGUUAAAGAUCUUAAAAGAAAUUAUUAGCAAAGGGAAAUCAGACAAUAAUAAGUGUGGACUUAGCUAUAUAAGUAAGGUUAAGACUCCCAUUAGUAUGAAAACAACUUUUGUAAUGCCAAGGAGGUUGCUCUAUCUAUGGAGGCAUCCUCUACUGCUACUUUCUUCUACAGUAUUUGAAAUAGGUUAGACAUGAGCAUAGUAAAUCUUACCAUAAUCUCUUUAAUAGGUUUCAAGUACCCCAUGUAAAUAGAUUACUGAAUGAUUUAACUUGAGCAUAUCCUAGAAAGCAUCUAAGAUGUUUUUCCCUAAGCUAGGACUCUCAUACCAAUUGUUGGAAUAUUUGGAUUACUCCAUCCCAACUCUUAGAUCGUUGGGGAGCAUACUACUAUAAUCCUAGGGAUGAUACUACACUAUAACCCUUGGAUCAAGUAAACUAAAAGUUAUUUGUUAGCACAAAUGUUAGAUUUCUAGAAGAAGACUAUAUGAUAAGUAAUAAUGCAACAACAUAAAAAAUAUGGAUCUAGAGGUUCAAGAAUCAUUCAUUCCCAAUACUUCUAGUUAUAAGAGCCUUGUCAUAGUGGGAGGGUUAUUAUAUAAUCAAAUAGGUUCAUGUAUUUAGGAGAGUCUUUUGAGGCAAUUCUAAAGGAACAUGAGAUGAAUCCCACAAAUUGCGAAAAAGUUAUGAGUAAUGUUGAAGUUCAUCUAUGACGGAGACAAAAUUAGAAUCUAUAUAUUCUAACAAAGUCUAGGAUCUUGUAGAGGCACUUAAAGGAAUAAAACUCAUAUAGUGCAAGUAGAUCUAUAAGAGAAAGAGAAGAGUAGAUGGAAAGAUUGAGACAUAUAAGGUUAGGUUUAUAGCUAAAGGUUAUAGUUAGAAACCUAGUUUCGACUAUGAGGAAACCUUUUUGUGAAAUGAGUGUGUGGAAAUGUGGCAGCCAUGAGGAGUUUGUGUAGUGGAUAAUUAUGAAACCAUGUUUUCUGAAACUAAAGAAUGAAAAACCAAUUUCUUUGUAAUAAGUGUUUUGAAAUGCCUUUUUUUUUCUUUCAUCGUAUUGUGUAGUUAAGCUCAUUUCCAAAAGAUUAUUAAGUGUUGGUAAUUAUUAUUAUUAUUUAAUAAAGUCAAAAUGGAACAUUUCCUUGAAUAGAAUUGUAUUAAAUCAUUUGUUUUCUAAUAAAAGUAACAAAUUAUUUUCUUGUAAAUAAAAUUUUUAAAAGUAUUUUUGGCAAAUGGAAUUAAAGCAUUUUUUAUUUAAAUUAAUUGAAACUUUCUUUUAUAAAUAAAAUUCGUUAAAGCUAUUGAAUUGGAAAUCAACUUUUUUUACAUAAAUAAACACUCGUGAAAUCUUUCGAUAAUGUGUCACAUUAUGGAAGUCAAACUACUUUUCUAGACAAUUUAAUAAUUCAAUCACCUUAGUGCAUAGUUGUGAGUUUUUUUAAUAUUGAUUUGUGAUAUAGAUAUAUUAUACACUUUAUUUGAACAUCCUUUAGAUAAAAAAAAAUUCUUUUUUUGAUAUAUUAUAUACCUUAUGAGUUCUUUUACCUUAUUUCUUUGUAUUCAUUUAUGAUCAUUAUUUGUUUCUUGAUAUGUGCUCUAUAUAUUGUCGAGUUAGCCUUUGAUUUUAAGUUUAUUAUUUAUUACUUGUGAAUUGACCCAAUAUUUUCAUGAGAGUGCUUGGCUUACUAUUCAAGUACACCUCUCCCCCCUUUUUGUAUCCUUUUAGUUCUAUAAAUAGAUAAGCUUUGUGUGUAAAAUACCCUCAUGUUUGAUUGUGUUUCGAAUUGUUUUAACAAAUGCUUGGUCUCUUGAAUAGAAUAGACUACAUGUUGUACGUUAUAUAUCUUAUUGUUUGAAUUAACUUAGAUGUCUUGUGAAACGCUUAAGUUGUGGUUCAAGUACACAUAGUAUCAUUUCUUUAUGAUUGUAGUUUGAAUCUUUGUUUAGCAAUGAUAAAGUUAGCAGACUUUUGAAAUCGCCUUAACCUAUCUGGGUAUCCAUAAUAAAUUUAUUAAUUACCAUAUGUCCCUCUACUUAGCUAGUAGAGACUAAUUUAAGACUUGAAAUGUGCUACCUCUUUAAGGUAUCUUCCUAAUAGGUAAUUUGAUCCUUGAACCUAGACUCGAGUUUUUUACAAAUAGCUUUUCCAAAAGUCAGGAGUCAUUUCAGGGGUUUUGUUCCUACUUAAUUUCUCCUUUUAAAUAAAAAUAAAAGUAAAUGGCAACUCUAGUUUUUACAAAAUCAUUUUUUUCACAAAUAAAAAACGAGUCUCGCCGUUUAAGUGGGGACGCACGUGAAAAACACGGGUCCAAAAUAGCCUCCAAGAUCGAACCCAUCUUGAUUUUGGACACAUCACCAUUCUAAAUAUAAGGUGGCCCAAUGAAUUAAGGGAUAUGAACCAUCCUUUAUGAAUAAGACUAUAUAUGUUUGUAGUGAGAGUGGUCAAUUUUGAAGAUGGAACUCUUCACUUGGUAACAUUGAUGUCAAGGAUCUUGAUUAUACACUUAACUUCAACAUGAAAUGGUAGAAUCAUCUAAAGUGGUCCCACUUGCAUUGGCUAAGGACUAAAUUAAAAGGUGUGUUAAUCAUCGUCUUAGGAUAACUUUUUAAGGUUUAAGGCAGGUAGAUUAAUUAGAGAGAGUCUUUACCCUAGUAAUAAGAAUCAUGACCUACUUGAAGUAGGCUUGAUCUUUAGGAUACUAGGAUACCUUACAAAAGGACAUAUAGUUUGAGUGCACUACAUUUUUUGCUAAAUUAAUUACCAACAUGCCUUGAAUGCUCAGUUUACUUUAUUAAUGCAUGGAACUUUUUUGUAUUUGUUGAGUUGGACUUAGUUAUAACAUAGACAUAGUAUUAGUUACAUAUGGAUAUAAUGUUGUGUGUUCUAACUAACAUGUCUUAGCUCUCAAAAAGCCUAUGUCAAGUUCCACUCAAUGAACUACUAUGGCCAUAGUUUCCAUGAACACACCCCUUUAAGAUCACCCAAUUGGACACUCUAUCUCAAUCUAAUGAGAUAUCAUAGUGUCUCUAUUAAAAAUACUUAUUGCUACCAAUUUUUAUCAACAGUGACCCAAUUUAUAGGGAAUAUAUGAUCAACUUACGACCUCAUCCACAUAUUAAAGUCACUGACAACCUCAAUAUAAGCUCAAUAUUCUUUCAAGGUUGAGAGACAAUAUAAUGAAGCAACUUAGUGAGGUCAUGACUACUUGACAGUCUUAAGUCAUGACUCACCAUAGGUCAUAUCCAAUUAUAACAAUCACACUAGUGCGCUCACCAUAAGAAACUCAUCCCAAUAGAAAACACUAGAUAUCGCUCCAAUUAGGUGGUGAUGCACUAUUGCAUCUAAUGAGUUACCUAAACACACGACUCAACUAUGAACAAGUCAUUUAUUUGCAAGGAACUUGUGAAUUAGAUUUUCUGUACAACUCCUAAUGCACCCAAAUCACAUACAAUACAAAAUAUGUUAGACGAGAAUGCUCAUGAAGUACAAUACAUGGAAUAAGAAUAGAUAAAAGUGAAAUUGUAGCAUCAUUAAAUAAAUAACGAAUUCCAAAUCUAUUACAUCAUGUCAUGCUUUUAAGGGUUCUAUCCUAACAGAAGGAUGGUUGGUCUUGUCUACCAAGAUGGGGUUCCCAUGGUGAGAAAACUAGUAUAUAUGAUUACACAUUGGAUAGGACCUAUGGUGAGUUAUGACAUAAGGUUAUUAGUUAGUCAUGACUUCACUAAACUACUAUACUAUAUUGUUGUUAGGAUAGAACCCUUAAAAACAUGACAUGAUUUAAUAAAAUUGGAAUUCAUUAUUUAUUUAAUGACGUUCCAGUUUCACUUUUAUUUAUCUUAAUUCCAUGUAUUAUACUUUUUGAGCAUUGUUGCAUGCAUAUUUUCCAUUGUACAUGACUUAGGUGCAUUCAAGGAUGAAAAUAUCGGUAACUAUGGAUAUAUCGGUACUUCAAUUUUAUGGAUAUAUCAGAUAUAUCGGAGAUAUAUCAGCGGAUAUUUUGGAAAAAAAUAUCGAUAAGCUUAAAAUUGAUCAAAAUUUAUAAAAAUAUAAGAAAAACUUCAUAAAAAUGUAAUUAGAAGUAUAAUAAAUAUUUUACAAGUUGUUUUAUUAAAGAAUUUGAUGUAUGUAUAAUAUGAUUUAUCAUAUUUGAUAAUAAUAUCGUAUGCAUCGAUAAAAAUAUGAAUUUUAUAAGUGUACAUUUAUUAUUAAAUUACAUCAAAUAUUAUUUCAUAAUAAUAUUAUGAUAUUUGAUUAUAAUAUGUCUAACUUAAAAAUAUAUAUUAAUAUUAAAAUUAUGAUCCAUUUAAUUCAAUUGUAUUAAAUGAUAUAAAAUAAAUUAUGAUAUAUGUACAAUUUUUUAAUAUUUAAUUAAUUUAUUAAUGAUAUUAAAAACACUAUGAAGAAAAUUAUUAUGAUAAUUUUUAUAUUUUUGGUAAUCAAUUAAAAGAAAUUUUUGUAUUUAAUUAUAAUUAAUUUUCUCUCUAAAAUUUUCUUUUAAAAUUUUCUUUACAUGAUGACUUUGAAUAUAUACUUUUAGUGCAAUACAUUUAACAAAGGGUGAGCUUGCCUUGGUGGUCUAAUGAGCUUAACCCUAAACCUUUUGUUUGGGGUUUGAAUCCCCUCAUCGGCACAAAAAAUGGGCAUUUUUUAGAGUGCAAUGUAGCGAGUGCACUGUAGCGCAUUAACCGACCAAAAAAUCACUAAAAUAUCGGCGAUUUUCUUCAUUUUAGGUCAUUUUUUUCCAUUAAAUCGAUGAUUUAUCACCUAAUGCUGAUAUAUCGGCGAUUUUUUGCCGAUUUUCAGCAUUUUUUCUCCUCUCCGAUUUUUCUCCACAAUUUAUCGUGUCGACGUCUCCCGAUACACGAUAUAUCGGUAAUAUAUCGUUGAUAUAUCCCGACAUUUUCCUCAUUGGGUGCAUUAAGAGUUGCAUAGAAGAUCUGAGUUGUAGGUUCCUUGCAAAUAGAUGACUUGUUCACAACCUAUUCAUAGGUCUAAGCAACCCAUUAGAGGUUAUAGUGCAACACCUUCUAAUUAGGGUGAUGGAUGGUCUUGGCUAUCGGGAUGGGUUUCCCAUGGUGAGUGCACUAGUGCGCAUGGUUACACAUUGGACAAGACCUAUAGUGAGUCAUGACUUAAGGCUAUCAAGUAAUCAUGACCUCACCAAGUUGUUUCAUUAUGUUGUCUCUCAACCUUGAAAGAAUAUUGAGUUUGUGCUCAAGUUAGCAAUGACUUUGACUUACGAAUAAGAUCAUAAGUUAAUCAUAUAUUCCCUAUGGAUUGGAUCAUUGUUGAUGGAAGUCAGUAACAAUAGGUAUUCUUAAUAGAGGCACCAUGAUAUCUCUUGGGAUUGAGAUAGUGUAUCCCAUUGCGUGAUCCUAAGAAGGUGUGUUCAUUGAAACUAUGGUUAUAGUAGUUCCUUAAGUGGAACUUGACAUAGGUUCUUUUGAAAGCUAAGAAAUGUCAAUUGAACACACAAUAGGAGAAUUUGUAACUCAAGGAUGGUAGAGGUAGUCUUGAAAGGCUGAUAAUUUUCACCUUGGUAGACUACGAACACCAAUUCAUGGGGAGAUUGAACAUAAUGGAUAGCAGGUCACAGACUUGAGCACUUGGUGUCUCGCUAUUAUUUACAUAGGAUAUUGGAGUUCAGUUGAUUCUCUAUAGUAGGAUAUUGAAUCAACUUUAGAAUUGGAUUUUAAGAGAGCUAGUAUUCCUAUGGGUCCCAAUGGUUCCUGUUCUAAGCUCAUAUACCUUAUUGACAUGAAUUAUAAAGGCCGAAUUAGCUUUAAGUUCACUUUUGUGCAUAAGGGUGUUUUGGUAAUUACGCAAGAUUGCAUAGGGGUAAGUGAACAAAGUCUCUGGAUUGGGUUAAUUAUUGGGAUAAUUGAUUAAUUAGUAUGUCCUAUUGGUUUAAUUAAUCAAUUAGAACUUAUUUUGGGCUAGAUUAAGUGAUCCAAGCCUAUGUGGGCUCAACUCGCUUAAGCCCACUUAGGAAUCCUAUAAAUGCCCCCUAGGGAUUAGGGUUUCUAUAGCUUUUGUCUUCCACCAUCCAGAGAGAUUGAGAGUCAUAGCCUCCACCCUCUUUUCCUCCCCAUCGGAAAUGUGCCAAGAUCAAGAUUCAAGUCAUCGGGGUGGAAAACUUUAAGUGUACGAGACUUCUGCGAUUUCAAUCUUCAUCUUCACCAUGUGAAUUUGAUUUGGGAACAUUGGAAUCUGAGGUAUGAUUUUCAUUAGUACUUUCUGAAUCCUUUUAAAGUAUAAAAAUGCUUCUUCUUUUUUCCAUUAUGUAUAGAAUUUAGAAAAAAUCUAGGAUAGUUAUGCAUAUUCCUAACUUGAUCCGAACUUGGGAAAUGAAGAGAUCCAGGUUUUUCCCAUCAACUAGUAUCAGAGUCAUAGGUUAAUAAUCAUGCUAGAACCAUUAUAGGGUGUGCUAACUUAUUUUUCCAGGUUUUUUGUUUUUCCCAUGGCCCUAGAGAUAAUUAAUGUGUAUUCUUUAUUAUGAUAUUAUUAUAAUAUGAUGGUUAUAAUUGUGAAUGUUUUUUUUAUUGGGGAUGUAAUAAUUACUUGGAUUGGUUUUUACUUUUCCUAGAUGGGUUGUAAGCCUCAUAAGAGGUAUAGGAUUUUAUUUAUUUUUUUUGUAAAAAUCCCUUUUUUUUUAUCUUAGAAUGAUAUGUAAACUCCAAAUCUUUAGAGUAUAGGAUUUUGUUAUAAAAAUCCAAUUUUUUUUUAUCAUUCUUUGUAACCUAUGGAGAGUAUGGAAGCAAUCUGAAGCAUCACAAAGUGUCCGUGCACAUUCCCUUGCUGGAAAAGAUAAAAGAAGGCUUUUUAAAGUUUCUUUUAUGAGUUCCUAUGGUGAUUUAAGGGAAAAGAAAGAAUCUUAGAAGUUCUUGAUUUGAGAUCCUUGGCAGCACAAUUUCAUCAUUUUUAACUUAAAAUCGGGAUGAAUUUCUGAAAGUUUCUUGGAACAAGCCACCUAUGAUUUUGAAGCUUAGGAAGUCACGAAUUCAAUGCUUCAAACAAAUUGCAAUUCAGAGCUGAAAUGAGGGGGAUAUAGUUGAUUGAAGCAAGGCUGCACAAAGAGCAUGGUAGCACAAUGACACUAAAUUCAACUCAAAAUUGGGGCUAUCUCCUAUGAGAUUUUUGAGGAAAACCACAUACAUUUUGAAGCUCAGGAAGUCAGGAAUCCAAUGCUUCAAACGGAUUGCAAUUCGGAGUUGAAACGAGGGAGAUAUGGCUAAUGGAAGCAAAGUUGCACAAAGGGCAUGCAAUUACGAGAUUAAGUUCGGGCCAAAUUGUUUUUGGUUGUUUAGGCUCAAUCUUUAGGCCUUUUUUUGGGCUCUUUUUGUGGAAAUUGGGCCCUUUUGGUUUUUCCUUUUUCAUUAACCCUAUCUUUGGCUAUAGAGCUAUUAAUUUGGCUUUUAUCCAAGUUUUAGUUACCAAAUUUGCAACAGGAUCGCUAAGGCCAUGAGAAUUAUUUAUUUAAUUUUCCUUUAUGCCUUUUAUGUUUUCUUAUUUUUGGCAUAGAAAAUGUUUUGGUAUUCUUUAGUUAAUGAAUUUUCAUUUUUUUUCCUUUUUUUUAGAUAAUUUAUUAAAUUGUAAUGUCCUAAGAAUUAAGAAAUUUUUAUUUUAGAAAAAGACAAGUUGGAAAAAAAUAAGGAACUUACUUCCUUUUCAAAAUUAAACUCUUCAAGAUUUUUUUUUAAAAUAAAUCUUUUUAAAUUUUAGAUCUCUAAAAAUCUUUUUAUUUUGAGGAAUAAGUUUUAUUUUUCCAAGUCUUUAUGAAAUAAGAUCUUUCUUAUUUAGUACAAUAGUCUAAUUUAAAGAAAUAAAUUAUUUUUGAAAAAAUAUAUGAUAGAUAAUUCAUGAUUAAGAUAGUUUAUCAAGAUAUUGUUUCAAAUAAAAUAAAUUAAAAUGGUAAUUUUGGAUUUUCUUAAAAGAAUAAAUUUUCAUGAGUUUCAUUUCCACUAUUAUUUAUUUAAGAAAUUGAUUGUUGUCAUUUGGAAUUUCAAAUUCCUUUUGAGAAUUUCCUUUAUUUAGGUUAGGUGGUUCUCCAAGCUUUCCCCCCAUAGAGAAAGAGAAUGACACCUAAAUUGGUCCUCUAGACUCUCCCUCCCUGAAAGAAGGAAAAAAUCAUUUAGUUUGAAAAUGAAAGUUCAAGGAUAAGAAAUAUGAAAGAUAUUCCUAUUUGGCAUAGGAGUCCCAAUUCAAGUAAUAAAUAAAAGUUCUAGAAAUUCUUGUGAUAGAUAAUUUAUUUUAAGAUAAUUACCAAAAUUAUCUUAAAGUCUCUCUUCCAAAAUAUUAAGUGGGAACGGGCCAUAAACAAGCCCAUAGCCUCCAAGAUCGAGCCCAUCUUGAUUCUAGGCCCAUCACCAUCCUAAAGAUGGGGUGGCCCAAGGAACUAAGGGAUAUGGACUAUCCUUUAUAGAUAAGACUAUAUAUGUUUGUAGUGGGAGUGGUCAAUCCUAAAGAUGGAACUUUUCACUUGGUAACAUUGAUAUCAAGGAUCUUGGUUACACACUUAACUUACACAUGAAGUGGUAGAAUCACCUAAAGUGGUCCCACUUGCAUGAGCUAAGGGCUAAAUAUAAAGGUAUGUUGAUCAAGGUUUAAGGUGGGUUGAUUAAUUAGAGAGGGUCUCUACCUAGUAAUAAGAGUCAUGACCUGCCUAAAGUAGGCUUGAUUCUUAUAAUACUAGGAUACCUGGCAUGGAUAUAUGUAGUUUGAGAGUAAUAAAAUUUUUGCUAAAUUUAUUACAAACAUGCCUUGAAUGUUCAGUUUCUUUUUAUUAAUGCAUGGAAUUAUUAAAUUUAUUACAGAUAUUAUAUUUUUAAUCUGUUACCUAUUAUCUUUUGUUUAAAUUGGACCUAAUUAUAUACUAAAAAUAAUUUGAAUAUAAUAUUAAUUGCCUAGAAGCUGAUUUUGGUAGAGUUUGUUAUUUCAUUUGAACAAGCCUAUCAUAAAGUAAGAGAAACAUAUCAAAUGUGCCAUAAGACAAAUCAAAAGACUAAGUCUCUCAUACUUGGGUCUUUAGAUAAUGUGUUUCAAAAGCAACACAUGUCUAUUGUCAUAGUCUAUGAUAUUCUCUUUAAAGUUGUAAGGGUUAUUUGGUGAUAAAGGCAAGUCAACUAGACAAGUUGCCCUUAAGACUAUUAUGAACACUAGGAUUCAAGUUAUCUUAGAGAUCUUACUAGAUUCUUUUGGGAUGGGUAAGAAGAUUCUCAAAGAGUAAAAGGGUAUACAUAUGGAAGUCAAGGUUCUUCAGGUUUUUCUCCUAAGAAGAAGAACAACAACACAAAAUAAGGAAAAUUUAAGAAAAUGAAUGAGAAAACAAACUCAUGGGCAUUGAUUCUUUUGUGAUCUUUUAGGAUACUAGAAAAUGAAUUAUCAAAGUGCUUAAGAAUAGGCAAGUACUCAUCAUAUUCUCAUUGUUUAAAUAAAUAGUGGUGGAUAGAUUUAAACCCCACUAUUUGUAGUUCUUUACAGGGUUUUCAACAAGUGAGAAGGUUACAUGAUGGGAUUAUACUUACCUUAACUUCAGUUGCAAGGUUAGUUGUGUAAGCUGGUGGAAGUUAUUACCUUUUUUAUGUGAGACUCCAUUAUCAUUUUUCCAAGUAAUGAGAAUAAUCAGAUCUCACUAAAAGAAAGAACCUAGCACUAGUAAAACAUUUGGCUUUUAAUACCUAGGUCAUAUUAAUCUAUAUAGGAUCCUAUAUUAAUCUAGAAGAUCUUUCAAUGUAUGAAUCCUAUAUAGAUGGUAAAAUGACCAAGAGGCCCCUUUUAUUUUUAAAGGACUUGGAACCAAUGAAUAUUUGGAGUUAGUGCAUGCUCUCACAUAUGAACCUUUUUUUGUUAUAUAUGGAAAGUACAGGUAUUAGAUCAUUUUAUUGAUAAAUACUCUAAUUUUGGAUAUAUAGAUAGGAAAUCUGAUGCCUUUGAUAAAUUCAUUGAAUUUAAGGAGGAAUCAAAUAACCUUUUAGGUAAACAUAUCAAGGCACUUUGAUUAAAUCGAGGUAAUAUGUCUAGUAGGUCCAAUCUUUUCCAUAUGGAGCAUGAGAUGAUAUCCUAGUUGUGUGCACCAAGGACUCCAUUGCAAAAUGGAGCAAUGGAAAAAAGAUAUUGAACUCUAAUAGACAAAGUGAGAUCGGUGAUUGGUUUCUCAUUACUUCCCAUAUUCAUUGGGAAUAUAUCUUAAAGGAUGUAUAAUACCUCUUUUUAUAAAGAAGUGUAUCACUUUAUAAGAUAUCAAAGAGAAUUUAGGGAUUAUUACUUUAUAGUCAAGAUUAUCAUAAGGUGUUUGUUGUUACAAAUACCAUAUUUCUGAUGAAGACUAUAUGAUAUGUAAUUGACCAAACUUCUAUAUUGUACCAAAAUACUUAGCCUUUUUACAUAGCAACUCUUGUCAAGAAAAACUAGAGAAAAAAGUCACUAUGGCUUUUGUAGCACUUCGAGUAUCGUCCUCAAGGACUAGCUUAUGAAAAUUGUCAAUACUAGAAUAAAUGAAUUGCUUUUGUUUAAAUCCUAAAGUGAAAAAUAAUAUGUGAAUGAAAUGAAACUAAGUAAAAGAACUAAAUUAAUAAAAAAAAACCAAAUAUGAUUUUAAAUUCAAAUGAUUCAAGUAUGGGUUUUUUCACAAUCCAACUUAAGGUAUAGAAAUAGAGAGAACAAGGGCUUCUUAAGUAAAGUGAUCUUAGAGUUUUGGGGUUCUUAGCUGCUCGCGAUCAACUUGAGUUCAAUAACUCAAAAUUGCAUUUGAAACCUAAUUUUUCCCAUUUUAAAACAGAUUCCUAAAACCAUCAAAUGAAUGAGAUUGAUUACCAGUUUAAUAUAUGACUUUUUUAACCCUUCUUGCUCCUUAUAGCUUUGUUUUGGGGCAAAUAACGAUAGGAAAGAUCAGAAUAACUAAUGAUCAAGAAUUACCAAGAAUCACUAGUAUCGGGUAAUAAUCUUUCCUAAACUAACUCACAAGGAUAUGAUAAAAAACAAAAAAAAAAUGAUAAAUUGUCACCUAACCAAUAAUUAAUCUCAUUGUUAUAAUAAUUUACCCAUUGUCCCUAUAGGUUUCCUAGCCCUUAGGUUUUCAUGUUUCAAGCCCCAAGUUGGCUUCUUAGUCUCUCAUGGGGUAAUGUCACAUUCACAAUCCAUAAUAGGGUAAAAAUCCAUAAUUUGAAUCAAAAGAAAUUAAAAACAAUAUAUUUAAUAAAAAAGGAAAAAAAAAAAAAAAAACCAAAGUUCUUGUCUUCUUCCACCUUCAAUGUCAAACUCUCUGGAAAAAUAUCCAAGAUUUCUAAAACCUAGAACUAAGAGAGUUUAUAUAAUAUCAUCAAUUACCUAACAUGUGGCACACUCUCAUUGGCCACUUAUUACAAAAUAAUUACCCAAAAAUGACUAAAAAUAAUAAAAUGGUGAUUUCUAGUCGUAUAGGGCCCACUUAGAGCAGAUGGAGUACUCUACAUGCAAUUCCUGAGGUAAUGGAGGUGAAACAUCAAAGUGGCAGUGGGUGAAUUCGAAAUUGGGGUUAUUUCAAAUUAGAUUUCGAAUUCAUAAGUUGGAUUUCGAAUUCAUAAUUUAAAUUUCGAAAUCAUUUCGAAAUGGUCGUUCAACUUUGUGCAAUUGUCUUCAAAUGGCCAUGACUUCUUCAUUUCAACUCCGAUUUGCACACUAUUUGAAGCAUUAGACUCCUCACUAACCAAAAUUUGAAACAAUUAUAGAAUGUAUAAAAUGGACUCUAUAAAGUGCUCCAAAUUUGUCCUCAAAUUCAGAGUAUAUGUUAUCAUCAGAUUUUGAGUUCUAAGUUUCUAUGCAGUUGAAUCUUGCUUCAUACCUCAUUUCCCAUAUUUUCUUACCUUCUUUCUUACUCCAUAAUGGUCAUUUCUCAUCUUUCAGACUCAUGAUAUCCUCGUCUUGCCUUUCCUCAUGGUUCAUGAGUCUUGACUCACUUAUUUCCUCGUUUUACCCUUUUUUGAUCUUUCAAAAUCUAAAGUGAUUCAACUUGCACCCUUUUAUUCCCUUAAACUUGAGAUAAAUCUCCAAAAUACAAGUUAAACUCAUGGCUAGGGCCUUGGAUUCAAUUUAGGUCAAGUUGGGUUAUUUGAGUGUCCUUUGGUACAAAAAUCAUGUCAAAUAUGUGCCAUUAGAGCACAUAUUUUGGCUUCAUUCAGUAAUAAGGCAAACAAUGAUAUAGAUUGGAGAAUACUAGAAGAUAGUCCCACUAUACACAACAUAUUAUGGAUCCAGUACCAACCAUUCCUAUUUCUCAUACACCAAUGCCUAGUUGUAAUGGAAGAUUGUUAAACAACUAGACCGAUUCAUGUAUUUGGGAAAGUCUUUCAAUGUCAUUCUAAAGGAACAUGAGAUCGAUCCCAUAGAUUAUGAUAAAGCAAUGAGUGAUUUGGAUGCACAUAUUUGGAAAAAAAACUAUGGAAGUAGAGUUAGAAUCCUUGUGAUUCUAAUGUAGUCUAGGUUCCUAUAGAAGCACCUAAAGGGAUAAAACCUAUUGGUGUAAGUUAGCCUAUAAGAGGAACAAAGGAGUAGAUGGAAAAGUUGAUUUUUAUGUGGCUAGGUUGUAACUAAAGGUUAUAGUUUGAAACAUUGUUCCGAAUAUAAGAAACCUUUUCACCAAUAGCCAUAUUCAGAUCCAUCAUAGUACUCCUACUGAUUACGGUGUAUCUUAUUUAUGAGAUAUUACAAUAGAAUGUCAAUAUAGUGUUCUUAAAUGAUUAUCUUGAUAUUAGUAUCUAUAUGAUGUAAUCAGAUAUUCUCAUAGCAAAGGGUCUUGUGUGUACAAGAAGGUGCAGGUAAGCAUGAUAGUCUUUAUGCUCUUGUAUGUUAAUGACAUUCUACUCAUUAGUAAUGAUGUAGGAUUAUUGUCAUCGGUUAAGAUCCGGUUUCCUACUCAGUUCCAGAUGAAAGAUUUGGGAGAAGUGCAGUAUAUUCUUAGGAUUAAGGUCCUUAGGGACCACAAGAUUUGGAAAUUCCCGCUAUAUCAAGCUACCUACAUAGAUAAGCUUUUGAUCAAGUAUGUGAUGCAGGAUUCCAAGAAAGGUUUGUUACCUUUUAGGCAUGGAAUUUCCCUUUCUCAAGAUCAAUGUCCUAAAACACCUAAAGAGAAAGAGUACAUGUAGUUAGUAACCUAUACCUCUAUAGUGGGUAGUCUUUUAUAUGCAAUGUUAUGUACUAGGCCAGAUAUUUGCUUUGAAGUGGGUAUGGUGAGUAUAUAUUAACUUAAUCUAGGUCCAAAAUAUUGGACAACUGUCAAGCAUAUACUCAAGUAUCUUAAGAGAAUAAGGAAUUAUGUGUUUGUCUCCAAAGUGUUGAGAUAGUUUAGAGGGUGACAUGAUAGUUGACAAGAUACCUUAUGUGGAGAACUUGGUAGAUCCCUUCACCAAGACAUUAACAUGAAGAGUCUUUGUUGGUCAUUAGGAUAACAUAGGUUUUAAAUGAGUAUCUGACAUCUUUUAUAGGCAUGAUGCUUUGAGGGUUAGUGGGAUAAUGUUAGGAUAGAGCCCUAAAAAGCAUGACAUGAUGUAAUAAAAUUGGAAUUCAUUAUUUAUUUAAUGAUGUUCUAGUUUCACUUUUAUCUAUCCUCAUUCCAUGUAUUAUACUUUAUGAGCAUUGUUGCUUGCAUCUUUUGCAUUGUACGUGACUUAGGUGCAUUAGAAGUUGUACAAAAGAUCUAAGUCAUGGGUUCCUUGCACAUAGAUGACUUGUUCGCAACGGGUUCAUGGGUUUAGGCAAUCCAUUAGAGGUUGUAGUGCACCACCUCCAAUUGGAAGGAUAGCCAGUCUUGGCUAUUGAGAUGGGUUUCCCAUGGUAAGUGCACUAGUGUAAAUGGUUACACAUUGAACAUGACCUACAGUGAGUCAUGACUUAAGGCUAUCAAGUAGUCAUGACCUCACCAAGCUACUUCAUUGUGUUGUCUUUCAACCUUGAGAGAAUAUUGAGUUUGUGUUAUAGUUAGUAAUGACUUUGACCUAUAGGUGAUAUCGUAAGUUGAUCAUAUAUUCCUUAUGGAUAUUGUUGAUGGAAGUCGAUAGUAAUAGGUAUUCUCAAUAGAGACACCAUGAUAUCUCUUAGGAUUGAGACAGUGUGUCCCAUUAGGUGAUUCUAAAGAGGUGUGUUCAUGGAAACUAUGGUCAUAGUAGUUUCUUAAGUGAAACUUGACAUUGGCUCUUUUGAAAGCUAAGAUAUGUCAAUUGAACACAUAAUAAGAGGAUUUGUAACUCAAUGAUGGUAGAGGUAAUCUUGAAAGGUUGAUAGAUUUCACCUUGGUAUAUUACAGACACCAGUUCAUAGGGAGACUGAACACAAUGGAUAGCAGGUCACGGACUUGAGCACUUAGUGUCACAUUGUUAUUUACAUAAGAUACUAGAGUUCAGUUGAUUCUUUGUAGUGGGAUGUUGAAUCAAGUUUAAAAUUGGCUCAAUAUACCUUGUUAGCACGGAUUAUGAGGGUCGGAUUGGCUCUAAGUUCACUUUUGUGCAUAAGGCUGUUUUGGUAACUACGCAAGGUUGCAUAGAGGUAAGUGAACAAGGUCUCUAGAUUGGGCUAAUUGAUUAAUUAGUAGGCCCUAUUGGGUUAAUUAAUCAAUUAGAACCCAUUUUAAACUAGAUUAAGUGACCCAAGCCCAUGUGGGCUCAAGUCACUUAAGCCCACUUAGGAACCCUAUAAAUACACCCUAAAGGUUAAGGUUUCUAUAGCUUUUGCCUUCCACCAUCUAAAGAGAUUGAGAGUUAUAACAUCCAUCCUCUUUUCCUCCCCACUAGAAGUGUGUCAAGAUCAAUGUUCAAGUCAUCAGACGAAAGACUUCGGGUUUGCAAGAAUUAUUCAAUUUUGAUCUUUAUCUUCACCAUGUGGAUUUGAUUUGGAAACAUCGAAAUAUGAGGUAUGGUUUUCGUUAGCACUUUCUAAAUCCUUUUAAAGUAUAAAAAUGUUUUAUUUUUUUUCCAUUGUGUAUAGGAUUUAGAAAAAGCCUAUGAUAGUUAUGCAUGUUUCUAACCUGAUUCGGACUUGGAAAACGGAGAGAUCUAGGUUUUUCCCAUCAAUUAUCUCUCAACAUUGAGAUAAUGUUGAUCUUGUGUAGAAGUUAGCAUUAGCUUUGACCUACGGGUAAGAUCCUAAAGUGAUCACAUAUUCUUUAUGGAUUGGCUCAUUGUUGACGAAAGCUAGUAGCAACAGGUAUUUUCAAUAAAAGCACCAUGAUAUCUCAUGGACUUUGAGAUAGUAUGUCCCUUAGGUGAUCCUAAUGAUGUUUAAUUGUGAAAUUUGUGGGCUCAUAAUAAUUUCUUUAGUGAAAUUUGACAUAUGCUCUUAAUGAGCUAGAAUACAUCACUUGAUCACAUAAUAAGAGGAUUUGUAACUCAAGGAUGGUAGGGGUAAUCUUGAAAGGUUGAUAGCCUUCAUAGGAAGACUAUAUAUAGUGGAUAGCAAGUCAUAGACCUGAGCACUUGGUAUCUCGUUGUAAUAUACAUAGGGCACCAGAGUGCAGUUGACUCAUUAUAAUAGAAUAUUGAGUCAACUUUAAAAUUGGAUUGAUCUAAGGGAGCUAGUACUGUCAUAUGGGUCUAAAUGGUCCCAUUGGAGAUCAUAUUCCUUGAUAACAUGGUUUAUAAGAAUUGGAUGGGUUUUUAGUUCACUUAUAGGCAUAAAGGUGUUUUGGUAAUUAUGCAAGGUUGCACAAGGGUAAGUCAACAGUAUCUCCGGACUAGGCUAAUUGAUUAAUUUGGAGCCUUGUUAAGUUAAUUAAUCAAUUAGCAACUUUCUCAGGUUAGAUCAAGUAACACAAACUCAUGGUAGACUCAAGUCACUUAAACCUACUAGGAAGCCUAUAAAUACCCCUUUUAAAUGUUAGGAUUUCAAUCUUGUAGCCUCUCUCUUUACUCCAAAGAGAGAAAACCUUAACCUCCAACCUAGAGAUCUCUACCAUCUUAGUUCCUACAUUCAAGGAGGGGUCAUUGAGUGGAGGACAAUUGAGUUUAUGAGAUCAUAUGUAGAUUUAGAUCUCUUUACACCGAUAGGAGUUGAUUUGGGAACAUCUAGAUCGCAAGUAUAACACUUUUUUUUUCUAGAUUUUUGGUUUAUUUUUUAAUAUCAAAGUUUUCUACAAUGCUUAGAUCUAAAGAGCAUAAGAUAGGAUUGCAUGUAACCUAAUGAUCCAAAGUCAAGGAACAGAGCAAUUUGAGGUUUCCUAACGUACAGAAACAUCAUGGCUUGGCUUAGAGCUUAAGGAUCUUUGGACAUAGGUAAGUUUUGUGUCAAACCACAUAGAUUGAGUUUACAUUUUCUUAUUUACUUUACUACUUCAAUUGUUAUUGAUUAUUGUUCAUUGAAUGUAAUCUCAUUAUGUUGAAAUGUAAUAUAAAUUUUGUGAAAAUUAAAGACAACCACUAAAUUCAUCCCCCUCUUAGUUGACCAUUGUAAGUUUGCUAAUUGUUAACUUCACUAAAAUCUCAUUAUCCACUUUCCUAAUAAUAUAAAUAUAUAAUAUAUAAUAUUUUAAAUUAGAUUUUUAAUUAAAUUCAAAUUAAUGGUUUUGUAAUCUAAGUAUUCUAAAAUGUUAUACGUUAUAAGCAACUUUAGUAUUUAAUAAAACUAUGUUUUGUUAUUAUAGAGCCCUUAAAAGUGUGACAUGAUGUAAUAAUGAAAGGAUUUCCUUAAUAUUUAUAUUAUGAUUCCAACUCUCCUUUUACUAUCCUAUUUAUGCAUUAUCAAUCUUAAGCAUUCAAGUUUGCAUCACUUGAAUUGUACAUGACUUGGUUGCAUUAGGAGUUGUAAGGAACAUCUAAGUCAUGGGUUCCUUACAUGUAAAUGAGUUAGUCACAACUGGUUCAUAGGUUUGGAGCAAUCCAUCUAAGGUCAUAGUGCACUACCUCUUAAUUAAAGGAAUGACUUUUCUUGGUUAUCAACAUGGGUUUCUUAUGGUGAGUGCACUAAUACGUAUGGUUACACAUUGGAUAAAACCUACGAUGAGUCAUAAUCAAGUGGUCAUGACUUCACCAAAUUAUUAUAUUACAUACACUCUCAACCUUGAGAGAAUAUUGAGCUAGUGUUGAGGCCUUCAAUGGCUUUGACCUAUGGGUAAGCCACUAAGUUGGUCACAUAUUCCCUACAGAUUAGGUCCCUAUUGAUUAAGGUAGGUGGCAAUAGGUAUUCUAAAGAUAGACACUAUGAUAUCUCAUGAGUUUAAGAUAAUGUGUUCCCUUAGAUAAUUCUAAGGACAUGUGAUCAUGAAAUCUGUGGUCGUAGUAAUUCCUUAAGUGGAAUUUGACAUAUACUCUUAGAGAGUUAGAGUAUCUCAAUUGAUCACAUAAUAAGAGUAUUUGAGACUCAAGGAUGGUAGAUGUAAUAUUGAAAGGAUGAUGACAUUUACCUUUUUAGAUUAUGGACAUCAAUUCAUGGGGAGCUUGCGUGUGGUUGUUUGUAGAUCAUUGAUCCAAAUUUUAUAUCUCGAUUUAAUAUCAUAGGGAUCUUAAGCGUUGGAUAAGCACUUGAGCAGUUCCAAUGCUUGAACGUUGCUUCCACCACUCGAGCAUCCCCAUAUUUUCAAAAUAUUAAUUUAAUAUUUUUAAUUCAAUAAAAAUACACUAGUCUACUUUAACCCUUUAAACACCUAACUUACCACAAUUCAAACUUUUUUGAACUUACCUGUAACUUUUUGGUUGAAUGAGUAGCAACAUUAAAUCUUCAAUGGAGAGUACACUACCUAGAAAGGUUUUUUAAGCUAAAAAAUAAAAUGAAACAAAAUUGUCAAUUUACAAUGCAAACUCAUUGUCCUAAAAAUAAUAAAAAUAAUUGAAAACAACUAAAAUAUAUCCUCUAAAAAUACCUUAUUUUUUAUUUAUAAAAAUAAAAAAUAAAAAAUUAAUUUUCAAUUGUUAAACAUGUUUUUUAGUGGAUAACAGAAAAAGUUUUGAAAAAUAGUUGUAAAACUAAGCCAGUUUUAUGGAAGACCUAGCAGAUGCCAAAAGCAGGUGGGGAUAGUUGGGAGGAUGUUGAAAGAUGUUAGUCAAAGCCCUGAUAGCCCUUGGAGGCUCAAACUAUGAAUGAAAUGUGCUUGAAACAGUGAUGGUUGGUAGGAAGUCGCAAAGAACUUAACCUCAUUUUGUUGAUAACAAAGACACACAUUGAAACCAGCCAUUGUUAGGUCCCUCAUGAUUGAACAAGCCAGGAUUCAGUGAGAAAAGAAGUAAGAUGGUUGGAGAAUUGUUAAAAAUUACAAACAUAAGUGGAGAAGUUGUAUAAAUGCAUCACCAAUCAUUAUGAAUGAUUCUUCAUUUUCUCCAAACCUAAAAUUCUCAAGCUCAAAUUUCUAUUUGUUGACUAUAAGUCUAGAAUGAUUAUUUUUCAAACUUUAAGGUCUCGUUUUGAUAUAUUUUUUGUUUUCUAUUUUUUUUAAAUAUAUAUAUAUAUAUAUAAAGUAAAAUUAUAGAGUUAUUAUAUUUCGUAUAAAAGCUACUAUUAUUUUAUAUUUUUAACAACAAAAAAUAAGAAAUAUAUCCAAUAACACUAUAUUUUAAAUUAUAGUUUGUGUUUUAAUUGUGAUAUAGUGAAAAGGGAAUUAUGCUGUUGAUUAAGAAUUUUUAUUAGUGGGUUGUAAGGUUAUGAGAAGGCUAAGACAAAGCUAAGAUGGCUUUUAUUAUCAUUUUUAUUAUUAUGAUAUUUUGAGUUGAAAUUAGGGUGUUGUUUGUGUUUUUAACUUUUUAUUAAAAGUAACUUGUUUUCGAAUUUCAGAUCAUUUAUUUAUUUAUUUAUUUUUGUUAACUUGUUAGUUAUUUAUGAAAUUUUCUUAUUCUAUAGAAAAUAUCAAAAUAUUUUACUUUUUUUUAAUACUAAAAAUAACCUAUUGAUUUUUCUUUACUUCUCAAUAUUUAAUAUAAAUAAAAUACUUAAAAAGAAAUAAUUUAAUGUUUAAUACUACUAUUUAGUUUUAAAUUCUAUUUAAAAUUAAGUUUUAAAAAAUAAAAACAAAUACUACCUAGGUUUUAUGGCUCUACUUGGAAAGUAUUUUUGAAAACAGUUUGAAAAAUAGUUUUUUACAACAAUCUUAGAAAAAUAUUCUUUAGAAAAAAAAUAUUUGAGAAAUUAAAAUGUUUUUAACUUGUUUUCUAUAUAUUUUAAAAAUAAAUUUUAUAUAUAACUUUAUUUUUAAUCAUCCAUCAUAUUUAUAAUUAUUUUUUAAAACAUUCUUAAAAAGCAAGUGAAAAUAAAAAAUAAAAAUAACUAAAAACAAUUAAAAGAUGUUUUCUGAAAACAUCUUAUUUUCUAUUUUUAAAAACAAAAAAUUGUUUUAUUUAUUUUUUAUCAAAUCUGUUUUUCUACCUUUUUUUCUUAAACAGAAGACUAUUUUCCAAAACAAUUACUAAAUAAAGUCUAUAUCUUCAUUUUUUUUAUUUCAAAUAUUAUCACUAUAUUCGCUUUUUUACAUAUGAUUGGAGAUUGAAACUAAUGAUUUUAUAAGGAAAUUGAUUUUCAAAGUGAAAAUAUGAAAAGUUAAACAAGAUAAUACAAUAAAAAUCAUAAUUAUAUUUAUAUAACUUGUACAAAAUCAUCCAUACUUAUAAAAAUCCUAAUUCUUAUAUUUGCUAACAAAGAGCAUGAUUAAUAAUAUGGUCAAACAUAGACUUUUUUUCAAGUACAAACCCACAAUGUCUCCUUAUAAUUUAUUAAAACUCAUAAACAUUGCAAUAGGUAUCAAUAAAUAACAUUCUUUUCUCAUCCCUUCUACUCAAAUAAUUAAAUAAGGCCUAAAUAGCUUAGGAGUUAUUUGGUUUAUUUUUUAAUUUAUUAAAAAAUAAAAUAUUAUUUUAUUAAUAGUAAAGAGUCCUUGAAGGUAUUCAAUAAAACUUAAUAUUUAUUACUUAAUAAUUUAAGUUGACUUUUAAUUAAAUUAUAUUUAGGUUAUUGAUUUAAAACUCAUUACUUAAUUUUUACUAUUAAGAUUGUUUAAUAAAAUUAACUUAAAAUUUAUUUAUAAAUUAUUAAUUUGAUAUAUUUAUCCUUAUAAAUUAUAAUUAAGGUAACGAAGAUCUAGUGAGGUUGUGAAGUAACAAAAAAAAAAAAAAGAUAAGUAUGACAAAUAAGGAUAAAAAGAUAAAAUAAAGAUAUAAGUUUAAAAAUAAGUUAAUUAUUUUUACUUAUUACUUAAAGUUCUUAUUUUAUUUUAAAUCAUAUCAUUAAGUUAUUUUACUAAAUAUACUUAAUUUAUAUAAUAACUUAAAUUAAAUUAUUAAGUUGAUUUAUCAAACACUCAUUUAAUUAACGUCUUUUUAUUUUUUAAUAACAAUUAUAUUAGCGUUAUAUCAUCGAAAACUAGAAUCAAUUAUGAUAUAUCACGUGUGUAACAUGAUUUCAUUAUUUUAUAUACCGUUUGAAUAAUCAUUAAUACUUGAUUCCGCUCUUUUGUAUCUUAAUUCCAUUUAUUUGUAUUUAUUUUGUAUAUUUGUAUAAUCGUUGAUGACGUAAAUUUUCAUUAUAGACUUUAUACGAUCAAGAUCACAAAUUAAAUUUAACGGGUAAUCGAAUGGCAUAAUAUUUUUCAACUACAUUAUGUGGAAAAAUAUCAACCUAGAAGAACUUUCCAGGCCCACCCGAUCCCCGACCCGACUUCUCCCAAUCGAGUCAUACGAAAUCAUGCACACUCUGAGGUGUCGGUGGGUCGUCGGUGGGUCAGCCCUUCCAAAGGUUCUCUCCGCGAAAUCCAGCCUGUUAUCAAUUAAGCCUCGAACACCUCCCCCCCACCAAACCCCACAUCAGCCGUCCACUUCCCAAUCAGAUUCCAGAUCACACGCAAAGUAGCACGAGGUUUAACCACGUGGCACCACCAGGGCCGUUUCGAACCUGAAAAAGACGCACGAUCUAACACACCUCUCUUGCUUGGAACGCAAACACAAAAAAUAAAAAGCGUUCCUCUUCUUCCCUUUGUCAUCCCACGUAUUUCUCACUCUGAGCUCGCUCCUCAAAUCUUCUUAACCAUGGUUGAACGCAGCGUUUUGAUAGGGUUGGCGGUGGCGGCGAUUGUGGCGGUGGUGGUGGUGGAGGGGGACUCCUCGGUGAAGACACUGGUGAAGACGGUAAAGGGAAAGAAGGUGUGCGACAAGGGGUGGGAAUGUAAGGGGUGGUCGGAGUUCUGCUGCAAUUUGACGAUUUCGGACUAUUUCCAGACUUACCAGUUCGAGAACCUCUUUUCCAAGCGCAACUCGCCGGUGGCCCACGCCGUCGGCUUCUGGGAUUACCGCUCAUUCAUCCUCGCCUCUGCGGUCUACCAGCCGCUUGGCUUCGGCACCACCGGCGGCAAGGUCAUGCAGAUGAAGGAGCUGGCCGCAUUCCUCGGCCACGUCGGCUGCAAAACUUCAUGUAAGUGGUUGAUUUGGUGUUUGGCUGCUGAGAAAAUUGAGGGAAAAUGAGAGAAAAAGAAAAAAUCAGCGUCUGAUUAAGUCUUUGUAGUUAGUUCUGUGCAUUUUUGGAAAUCUAAGAUUUGGUUUAGUGUUUUUUUCCCCUUCGUUUUUCUCGGCAGCUAGAUGGGAUUUAAGGUAAAUUUGGGAGAGUUUAGCUUUGAUUUGAGCAAUAAAUUUUUUAUAGGGUUUAUUAAGAAAAUGUUAUAUAGAUUUGAGGGUUUAAUUUUACAAUGGGUGUUUGAUUCGUCGAAUUGACUGGAGGAUUUGGAUUGGAUUUCUGGACUUAGUUUUGAUCUAGGGUUUGAUUUGAUGGGUUUGAAAUGGAUAAUGGAAUGGACAAUUUUCUUUCAUCUGAGGUGAGUUUGGACGGUUUUGGGAUUACAUUUUGUGAUUUAAUUUUGGUCUAUGUGAUUGGACCUGUACAUGAUGCAUGUUUGGAAUUUAUUUCACUUCGGAUUGGAUUAAAUGGAUGGAUUUCAUGACCCUGCCUGGAUCAGAGUGAAUGAGGAAAAGAAAGAAAAUAGUUCUGCAAGUUACCCAGAAAUGGUUUCUUCCAUUAUCUAUUUUCACUAUUUUUCUUUCAUUUUCCCUGGAGUUCUUGAGAUCCAAACAGUGCCCACGACACUCAUUACGAUUUAUAAUAAGGUGUGUGGUGAUAUUUUCAGGUGGGUACGGAGUGGCCACAGGAGGGCCAUUGUCCUGGGGUCUCUGCUACAACAAGGAAAUGAGCCCCAGUAAGUCAUACUGUGACGAUUUCUACAAAUACACCUACCCCUGCACUCCUGGUGCCGAAUACUAUGGCCGUGGUGCAUUGCCUAUCUUCUGGUAAGCAUCUUUGCCUAUAAUUUGAUGGGGAGUUUUGGUUGAGCCAAUCCCAAAAUGAAGGAAUUUUCUGGUGUGAUUUAGAUUAAGCGUUGUUAUGACAGGAACUACAACUAUGGAGCAACUGGAGAAGCCUUGAAGGUGAAUCUGCUGGACCAUCCAGAAUACAUCGAACAAAAUGCUACCUUGGCCUUCCAGGCUGCAAUUUGGAGGUGGAUGACCCCAGUUAAGAAGUCACAGCCUUCUGCACAUGACGUCUUUGUUGGCAACUGGAAGCCCACCAAGAAUGACACUUUGGCCAAGCGGGUGCCUGGUUUUGGAACCACAAUGAACAUUCUAUACGGGGACCAGGUUUGCGGGCAGGGCGACGUUGAUUCCAUGAACAACAUCAUCUCCCAUUACCAAUAUUACCUCGACCUGUUGGGUGUUGGUAGAGAACAGGCAGGACCCCACGAAAACGUCACCUGUGCUGAGCAGAUUGCAUUCAACCCAUCCUACACUGCAUCCUCUUAAGCUCCAUAUGAUCACCCCUUGGAUGGAUUAUGAAAUAAGAAAGGGCAAGUAAGAUUGUAAGAGAUGUGUGAAGUUAGACAUGACAGGUGUUAUAAGGUGUGGAUUCAGUUGCUGCUGCGCGCUUCUGUCAUUUAUGUGUAGAUUUUGGCGUUCAUUUUGUGUAAUGUGUAGUCAUUAAAUAUGAAUUGUAUGAAGCAUUUUAUUCAUAUAUAUUUGUUUCAACUGUGAAGACCUUUCAGAAGUUGCAGUGUGCCUGAAAUGGUAGUAGUAGAGGAACCAAUGGUCUAUAAUGGAAACCUCAAAGAUGAGUUAUUCACAAUAAAUGAUGGUGUGAUACCUGAAGGAACAUCAAAUUCUUUGUCUAAUCUUGGGCAGGAGGGUGGUCGUACAGUUGGGUUUGUAGCCGACUUUGCUUAAGAGUGUGAAGCAUGAUGCUACAUUUGAAUGGAAUGUCAUACCAUGUAUAAUAUCAAUACAUUUUGUUGGAACUUGUCGGUUUGAUUUUGGGUUGGAAACUCUUUGGCUUUGAGAUGGUAUCCAUUAUAAAAUUAAAUCAUAUAAAAGGCGAUAGGUGGAGCAUCAAUUCGGCUUAUGAUUUAGCAAUAAUAAUAGUGACAUCAAUGAGUAGGGGCUAUUCCUUGUUGACUCAUCUCUGUGGAUGAUGCAGUUGUGUCGGUGCCUAGGGCAUAAAGGCAGUGUCCUGGUCUUACCAUAUACAAAUUAUGAUUAGUUGAGACGUCGAUAGUGUCAUUACAAUUUAGAUUUGGAAAAUGAGAAGUGAAGGUGGUGGUACGUGCUCCACCAUUAAAUUUGAAAAUGAAGUAUGAAAAACUUUAAUACUGAAAACUAAACAGUUAUGUAAAAGUUAGGUAUUGUAAGUGUUGAAUUAAUAAAAAUAAAAGGUGUUUGAUGGCAUCUUAAUUUUAAAUUUUGAAUUUAAUUUGACAAUGGUUUUAAAAUCAAGUGGUUGGAGUGUGGUGAUCGAUGAGCAUUUGUUGAGGAACAAGAGGCUGAUGGCGGUAUCAAUAAAAGCAAGUUUCUCGACCUGACCAAUGACAGACAAAGAAAAAGCAUUAACGACCAACCCACAACACCCAACCAAAAAGGGUUUCCUCAAUGAAGAUUAGGCAAUCAAAAAAGUGUAUGUUACUGGUUUGUCAUUUGUAUGAAUUGAUUGUGUAGAUCCACAAGAUCAUAAUGAAACAAUCAAAGGCUAAAAAUGAUUUAUUUUAUAGAAUUAAUUUUAUAGUUAUUAUAUGAUAAUUUUUAAAUAUCGUAUAACUAAUAUAUUAAUUAAUAAAAAUUAUCUUUUGAUGUUAAAUAUAAUGUUCAUUAAUUAUUUUCACUUUUUUUAUGAAGACUUCCAAUCUAAGAAGAAUGUUUAAAUAAUUUUGGUAAGUGUUUCAUUUAUUUAAGGUAUCGUGUGGUUCCAAAACAUUUGAAGAAAAAUAAAAAGUAUAUAUAUAGAGAAAUAAUAAAAGAAAAAAUAAAGAAAAUAAAAAAUAAUAUAUAAAUAUAAUAAAUUAUUUUGAUAUGUUAUUUUCUCUCUUGUAUAAAGAUUAAAUCAUUUGAAAAUAUAUUAAUUUUUAAUUAAUUUUAAUUAUAUUUUAUUUUUCUAUCAUUUUUUAGUAAAAUCAAAUAUGAGAAAAUCUUUUUUCUUAAUAUUUUUCUUUAUAUAUAUACAUUUUUGGACAACAAAACAUAACCUAAAUGAUAAUGAAAAAAUGAUUAGACUAUAGCUAAUAAUAUGAGUUUUUAUUUUUAUUUAUUUAUUUAUUUUUAAGUUGUAUAAUUUUGAAAUAUGAGCUCAAGUAAAUGACCUCAUUUGCCCGAAUAAAUUACCUACAAUCCCCAUUUCCAACUUUUUCAAACAUAACUUACACUUCAGGUUUGUGAGUAAGGAUGCACUGGAGUUGUUGGAUUAUUAAAGGAUUGUAUUAUUAAUAGGUACAUUAAGAAACACAUAUUCGAAAGAAUGACCAUCUUUAAAAAAACAUGAAGGGUAUGUUUGGUUUCUUGUAAAUGCUUAGAAAGGGAAAAAAAAAUACUAAAGAAAUCAUCUUCUUUGAUUUGAAUGACAUGGAAAAUAAAAGGGAUAAAAAAAAUAUAUAGGGGAAAAUGUGAAAGAAAAUGUUUAAAUUUUUUUUUUGUAUUUUCCUUUUUUAAAAACAAUACAAAGGAAAAUAGAAGAAAAACCAAAAAAAAAAAAAGUAAAGGAAAAUUUCCCGGGACUCAUCUCUUUACCAAGUCAUACCUCUUCACUAUUGUAUCUCAUCAAUCUCUUCACAAGUCGAGAGUCUUCUUCUCUCUCUCUCUCUCUCUCUCUCUCUCUCUCUCUAAUAUAGCUCCUAAAAUCAUCUCCAUCAUAAAGAGCCUAGUUGACUUUACUAAGACCGUAAGUCCUCCCAACAAAGCGUGCGUGACCUUCUUGACCGAUAAUGAAGACUACAUUAAAGAUGUUUGUUGCAUUGGCUAAGGGACUAUGGAAGGUGAAAUCCUUUUACUCACUUGUAGUUGUAGUGUUGCCAAAUGUGUCGAUGGAGCACAACAAUGAGCCUAUUGAAAUUAAUGUUGAUAUUUUAUUUGUUAGUUACAAUUAUAGAUUGAGUCAAAUAAGAUGUGAAAUGUGUUACCUAUCUUUUAAGAAAUACCCACUAUGUGUAUAAGUGGGUUGGUGUUAGUAGGCCAACAAUUGAUUUAUUUAAAAGUUCAUUAGAGUUCGAUUGUCUAUUUAAAUACAAAUUGAUGAAUGAAAAUCAAUCCAAUUCCAUUAAACUUUGUGCUUCUUAUCCAAAGUUUUUAAGUGCUCUAUUUUAAUUUUACUUCUCUCUUCCUAAUUCUUAUAGAGAAGACAACUUUUUAGAUUAUCAUCCGGUAUCAAAAUUAGGUUCAUCAAAUGGUAAACAACACUAGUCUUACCCUAAUUGCACCCAUCAUCCUACUUUUUCAAGGAAGUGGAUAUGAAGUUUAGAGCAUGAAGAUGAAUUACUUUUUUAUCUCCCAAGAUUUAUGGGAUUUUGUGGAUAAGAGUUAUGAAAAAAAUGAGAUUCAUGUAGAGGUUAUUAGAGAUACGUGAAUGAAAUAUGCUAAGGCAUUUUUAUUUUAUUUUAUCUAACAAGCAAUUUCGAAAACUACUUUUCCUCACAUUUCUAUAACAACAAAGUUCAAAGAAGGUUGAGAUGCUUUGCAAAAAGGAUAUCAAAGCACAACUAAGGUACUUACAUUAAACUUCAAACUCUUUGUAAAAAGUUUGAAACAUCACCCAUGAAAGAUAGUGAGUGUCUACAUGAUUUACUUUUGCAAUAUGUUAGAAAUUGUAAACCAAAUUUAGAAAUAUGAUGAAUGGCUAUCCCAUGAAAAAAUGGUUAAAUUUUUUUUGAGAAACUUGUCUAAGAAGUAUGAUCAUGUAGUUGCAACAAUAGAAUAGUCCAAAUAUUUAUGUGUAAUAGACAUAAAGAAAAUUUUGUUGAAAAGGCAUAUCAAACUAGAUUGUAGUUCUCUAAAGAUAAGACAGGUAACAACAACAAGGAGUCUAGCAACAAAAAAGAAAUGAAGAACAUUCCUCCUGUGGUAAAAGAAAAGAAGAAGUGGAAAAGAUGGAUGAGUUAAUGGGUAAUAUUCAAGAAACCAAAACCACUAUCAAAAUGGGUUUGGUGAAAAAGGUGAAAGCUACAAUCAUAAGUCAUUCCAAUGUUACUAUUGUAAGAAGUUUGGCCACAUAAAAAGCAUUACAAGCUAAAAGAAAAGCAAGUCAAAUUUGUUGAGGAAAAAGAGAGAUAUUGAAUCUAAAACUUUAUUUCUUGCUUGUUAUUCAAUUAAAGAAUGUUAUUCAAAUGUUUGGUAUUUGGAUAGUAGGUGUUGUAAUCACAUGACAACAAGCUUGAAUGCUUUUACAAGUCUAAAUAAAUCAAUGGCCACUCAGGUGAAGAUGGGUGAUGGAGCAAUUAAAGGAGCAUAAGGUAGAGGUGUAGUAAAAGAAAAAUUAGGUGAAAUGGGUUAUGUAAAGAAAGUUCUCCACAUGUUCCUGACUUAGAUGUAAGCUUGUUAAGUGUAGGGUAGUUUCUAUUAAAGGGAUACUUACUUGUUUUUAAAGAUUUGAUAUAUUCAAUCUUCCAAAAUAAAACCAAAAGGCAUUUAUUGGUGAAAGUUUCUAUAGUUAAAAACAAUUUUUUUUUCCUUUAACCCUUGGUGGUGAUACACAUGCAUGUAGUGUUUCAUUAUCUGAUGAUAAUUAGUUAUGGCAUUGUGGCUUUAGACGUUUAAACUAUAAGAGUUUGGAACAUUUGUCUAAAAAA
This 52624-nucleotide long non-coding RNA is filed under the name Vitis vinifera (wine grape). RNAcentral describes it as "long non-coding RNA (VVIN_LNC001579)". Lineage: Eukaryota; Viridiplantae; Streptophyta; Magnoliopsida; Vitales; Vitaceae. The record is from RNAcentral.